Molecule: long non-coding RNA, 49791 nt
Filed under: Triticum aestivum (bread wheat)
Lineage: Eukaryota; Viridiplantae; Streptophyta; Magnoliopsida; Poales; Poaceae
Description: long non-coding RNA (TAES_LNC005555)
Rfam family: MIR1120/MIR1122 microRNA precursor family (bases 2075-2161)
Source: RNAcentral
UAAUUUAUUUUGCUACACCUUUCUAUAAAGAUGAAUAUUUGUAUUAAUUUUUCUUAAUAUGACCCCACUUGUCAUUUUUUUCCCAAGAAUUUGCGAGCCUCUCUAGAAAUUCACAAACUGUAGGUGACGAUGAAUUCUUGUCCUGGCUUGUUGAUUAAUUGUUGUGGCCUGUAAAGUCUCGAAUCUGAAUGAAAAUAAGAGAUAGAGGGAUUCAGUUUUCAAUGCUUAUCAACAUGCUUCUGGAAGUGAGAGAAAUAGUGAUGUGUACGGAGAAAGAUUGUACAGUGCAUUGUGUAAAUAUUUUCCUGGAAUCAUGUUUUGGAAAUUCUUAUGAAUUGACUGCUGGCUAUCUUACCGUUGUGAUUGUAUAGGUAGAAAUAGACAUCUAGUAUGAUCUUGGUCAUCUUGCCAUGUAAAACAUUAGCCGAUUUUCUUUUUUGGUGUAGAGUAGAGGAGAAACACAGGUCAUUUUCAGCUGUUACGGAACAACUUUAUUGCUGAUCUCAGACGGAAGAACAUAUACAUGUAUAUCCAGACGGAACAGCAGAUUCAGAUUUCUAAGAGGACGGCGACAUCUCUAUCCAGGUGCUACGUACAUCUCUCUUUUUCUGCAGUUGCAGGUAAGGCAGCUGCCACCCUGUUUGACAUAAUAUGCCACGGGUUUGGUGAACCUAGACAUUGCUGAUUAUGUUUGGCGUACUGUUGAUCGAAUUCUCCUUUUUGUCAUAGUCAGCACCUGCACCCUUAACUAAUUUCUUAUUGCUACCAUAUAUAUUAUUUCUUUGUGGAGAUUCGCGUACAGUUUCUGUUUCAGUCUACCUCUUCUAAGCUUCCUGUUUCUUUGCAAUAUCAGCCUGCAUGAAACAGAUAAAAUUAUGAUUCUGUUUGAUGAUCUAAUUAAUUACAAAGUAAAUUGGACAGAUUAAGUAAAUGCACUAUUAUUGCAGCUAGGAUGAUUAGCUGUCCAAGUUAGCUGGUCUUUGAAACUGGCAUGAUGACGAAAAAAGAGGAUUCUUCAAUGUAGAUCGAAAAGGCUAGUUCCGAUUUGCUUUGAAAAGAAUUUAGCAUGGAAUGGAAUUAAGGAUUCGCUUUGUACCAUGCAAGUGUCAAUAAUGACAAUAAUGCAAAACGGAAAAUUGGACAUGCUUUGUUAUGUCGUUCAUUCAUAUAAAGCUAUAUUGUCAUUCUCUCUGGAAAAAAGCACACAGCUCUAUAUGCUCUACACGUGCAUGUUUGCUGAGAUUUUCUCCUUUCAUUUUCUUUCUUGAAAUGAUGUCGUCUGGUAGUCAAUAAGUUUUGUUUACUUAGAGAUCGAAAUGCAUAAAAUAUAUGAGAAAAUUUAAAGGAGUUUAAUCAAGGAGCACCAGGACACCUAUUGGACUACCUGUACUAUUUGCACUGCCAAGUAGUUGUAUAUCUGCCGGAGAUGUCACUUUAUAAAAUCUUGUUGGGGAAAAAUGAAAAAAAAGAGUCAAAAAGAAGAAUUUAAUUGUGUACAAGUACCCAAAAGGUAAAAGUACUAUGGGCUUAUUGAAAAUCAUUCAACAAAAAGUUUGAUUAAGGUGUCCAAUGCAUGUCAGGGUUACUACUAGAUGUACACAGCAUUGCCCUUUCAUUAUGCUUAUAAUACAGUACAUCUGGAGUGUGUACGUGCACUUGGUUUGAUUUGUGCCCACAGGACUUGGGGAAAAUUGUUACUCUGGUGCCAGAUGCAAAUACACAAAAUUCUUCAAACCACGGCACUUUGUCAGGGUUGUUUGUGAAUGUUACAUUCAAACUUCAUUUAAAAAAUACGGCAAUGCUAAAAUUCCGAUGUAUGAUUUUUAAGCAUAGCAAAUCAAACAUUUUUUGACAAAAUAUGUUGUUGCGAGGAUAGCAAUUUUCUUUAGCGAGCAAGGCAAUUCCUUACAAAAAACUGAACAUGGCAAGGAUUUGUCAUGCUUGCUAAAAGAAUUUGCCAUCCUCGCGACAACAUAAUUUGCCAUCUCGGACGUUUGAUUUGGCAUGCUUAAAAAUCCGGCAUUCAAUUUGUAGCGAAAUCCAAAAAAUAAGAAAAGUUGGUGAUUAUUGCCAACUACUUCCUUCGUCCCAUAAUAUAAGAGCGUUUUUUACACUACACUAGUGUCAAAAACUCUCUUAUAUUAUGGGACGGAGGGAGUAGCAGUAUGUAUGUCCAAGCUGCAGCAGGGAAAGAUGAGAUGUGGAUGUUUACGUGCAUGGCAUCGCCUGUAGUUCUCUAGUUGGUCAAUUGGAGAACCCACCUAUCUAGCUUUAUAUAGAGCUCCUUGUUCUCUGAUCCAUGUUAUAUUAUUGCCUAAGGCUAGCCAUAGUGGGGUAACUUACGUAGUAACUUAACACACUCCAAGAUAAUUUUGCUUAUGUGACAAGUAUUUAAUGAGGAGAGAGGUGUUUGGAGUAACAUAAUAUGUUACUGUAACAUAGCGCUUCCCGAGAUAAAAUGAGUCUAUAAGGCAAUAAAGAGUAUUUAACCAAAAACUACCACAAUUCACGGAACCGUGACGAAAAACUACCACUUUACGAUUUUGUCCCGAAAACUACCACUUUCUCGCUAAUCUGUGACUAAAAACUACCAAGUCGCGAAAGUGCUCGAUUCGCCUCUUCUAAACGCAUUUCUGACAGGAUGGGCCCACCUGUCAGCAUCAAUCUUCUUCUUCCUCCUCCUCCUCCUCUCUCUGGCAUUUCCUCAAACACCUCGCGUGCACUCCGGUGACCCUCUCGCCCGCACUUCGCCGCGUCCACGACCACCUCCUGCAGCUCCCCGUCACCAUUGUCAGCGCCCGCUGCUUCCCCUCUACUCCGUGGCCGCGCGCCGGAGCUCGUGCUCCGAGCCGCACCCGCACGCGCGCGCCCGCGGCGCUCGUGGCCGCCCCUNNNNNNNNNNNNNNNNNNNNNNNNNNNNNNNNNNNNNNNNNNNNNNNNNNNNNNNNNNNNNNNNNNNNNNNNNNNNNNNNNNNNNNNNNNNNNNNNNNNNNNNNNNNNNNNNNNNNNNNNNNNNNNNNNNNNNNNNNNNNNNNNNNNNNNNNNNNNNNNNNNNNNNNNNNNNNNNNNNNNNNNNNNNNNNNNNNNNNNNNNNNNNNNNNNNNNNNNNNNNNNNNNNNNNNNNNNNNNNNNNNNNNNNNNNNNNNNNNNNNNNNNNNNNNNNNNNNNNNNNNNNNNNNNNNNNNNNNNNNNNNNNNNNNNNNNNNNNNNNNNNNNNGGGCGGGGGCAGCAGCGCGGCGCUGGCGGCCACGCGGCAGUGGCCGGCCCCAGAAGCUUGGUGGGCACGACGACGGCGAGGUGGGAGCGGGCGCGCGCGUGCGGGUGCGUCUCCGGCGCGAAGGAUGGCCAGGUGGCACCUGGUUCGUGGGCCCAAGCGGUCAGAUUUGUGCUUAGCACGGGCCAAGCGAGCGAUUUCGCGACUUGGUAGUUUUUUGCCACGGAUUAGGAAAAAAAUGGUAGUUUUCGGGACAAAAUCGUAAAGUGGUAGUUUUUCGUCACGGUUCCGUGAAUUGUGGUAGUUUUUGGUUAAAUACUCGGCAAUAAAUGAAACAAUCUAUGACACUACUACUAAGAUACUUUACACUAUAGAGAUAGUAACUUAGACUAGUGUCAUAUGCAUGACACUAGUAUAAGUUACUCCCCACUAUGACCAGACUAAACAAAGUUGAUAUGAAAGGCUAUAUUCUUACAAGUGCUUUGGCUAUUUCCUACUAGUAUAGCUUCCUAGUAGUGACCAAACUGCAUGCAGUACAUGUACUGCUGGUCCAAUAUAUAUGAUGAUGCCAACUACAUCCAUGGGUCAUGGUGUAGGCGUACGUUCAACCUCAAAAGGCAUGUAGCUUCCCUUUUUGUUUGUUUGAUUGAAAGGUCUCUCCUCUCCAACCUUAGUUAGUUGUACGUCCUAUUCCAGUUCUGAAAUGUAUGUCUUCAUUGGAUGAGAGGUCAAGCUUUUGGAAGUUUGACUACCAGGAUCUGCCGAAUCGCAUCGAUAAAUCCUCUCUUUGAAAAUAAUACCGCAUUAGACUCGUCUCGCAAAAUCCUUCUGGGCUAAGCAAAUUUUGUUGCUUAUCAAAACGUACCGCAGGGGUCGGAGAUUAUAGCCAAGCCUUGCAUUUUAAGGACAUACAUGCAAAACUCAGAAAGCGAUCGACAUACAUUUCUAAAUACAGGGAAACAAGAGUACAUGUGCUUCAUCAAUUCUUCUCAGAACAUGGUGUACAGCUGACAUUGUUACUCAGCUGAACAUGGUGUACACGUAUAGAUCAGUAUCAGGUUUGAUGGACACAUGUACGCCAAAGAUAGCAGCGAGUGCAUGCAUGGAAACCCAUGGGCAUGCACUCGCACGUACACAUAUGUGCAGUGACUUUGUUGGACAUGCUAGAAGUUUGUUAGUCUUGGCUCUUGGGGGUACUUGUCUCCUCCUCUCGUUUUCGCACCUACUGGCUAGCUGGAGACCGCAGAAAGCUACAGGCCAAAAUGCAAGUUAGGAGCCCAAGACUUUGGACAGUACUUAACUUUAAUCACUAGCCUCUUAGCCGUGCCUCCUUUUUUCUCAAGGAAUCAUUGUCCCCUCUCCUCUCCUUGGCUAGCAGCUAGCAUCAGUGAUCGACCAGCACGGCAGCACGUACUGGUUAGUUUUCCUUUUUCCCUUUUCCGAUCGACAGGAGCCGGCAGUACUGGCCGGUACUGUAAAGUUUUUGGGCGGUUAUAAGUGCAUCUUUCACACUCUCCAGAUCGAUCUAUCUGCUAUGUAUCUAUCUGCCCUUGCAGAUGUAAACAUGCUUCCUUCCAAGGGCCAGCCACCCGCAUAAAUAUGAGUGAGAUCAUCAUCGACUGCUUGCUAUAUCGUCUCGCACACGCCAGCUUGAAUUCCCAUAUGCAUCUCGACGAACCUUUCUAGAUAGAUAGGCAGAUAGAACUGAGCCGUGACCUCACCCUUAAUUUGGCUCCUCUCUCUUUCUCCACACCACUGAUCACUAUUGACGAGAUGGAGGCAGCGGCACCAAGGUCCUCGUCAACUAGCUACUAGAUCGUCCGGUCGUCCGUUGAUCGAUCUCCCAUGGAGGCGAGCAAGGGAGGCGACGGGAGCUCGGGCGCCUCGGCGAGCAACGAUGACAGCACGGUGGAGGAGGAGGGAGCGGGCCGUGAAGAGCAGGAGGACGCCUGCAGGGGGAACUCUUUGUCGUCGUCGUCGGUGCGCCCCUACGUCCGCUCCAAGAACCCGCGCCUCCGCUGGACGCCGGAGCUCCACCACUGCUUCGUCCGCGCCAUUCACAGGCUCGGCGGCCAAGACCGUAAGGCCUCCUCGCUCAGUUUCCAUCAUCUUAUUCCUAGCUAGCCAUACCCCUCGUCCAUGUUAACUCCAUGUUUUGUGUGUGUAUAUAUAUAUAGGUGCAACUCCGAAGCUCGUUCUUCAGUUGAUGAACGUCAGAGGGCUUAGCAUAGGCCAUGUCAAGAGCCACCUCCAGGUUCACGUUAAUCAAUUUCAUUAAAACAUCCAUGUGCAACUUAGGUUUUCUUUCUUUUCUGAUGAUGAUCUUUCCCUGCCCCCCUUGUUUAUCAGUUAAUUAACAUUUGUGUCCUCUUGCAUGAUGUUGUAAAUUCAAUCAUCUUCAGAUGUAUAGGAGCAAGAAGAUCGAUGACUCAGGCCAGGGUAUGUUGUGUGAGUAAAAAUGAGUGAUUUUCCUUUCCUUGCUUUGGUGUGUUCUGAUCGAUCUGAUAGAAUUGAUUUUUCCAGUCAUAGGUCAUCUCCCCUUGCCCCAUGCCUUCCAUCAUCGCCAGAGUGGUGCGGGCACCAUGUUGUCAAGGUAGUUGGAUCCAUUAAUUUGGUCUACACACCUUCAAUCUGUUGCGUGGCUAGCAAAUCAUUCAAGUAAGCAGUCCUUAGCUAGCAUGUCGAUCCGGCUGAUGUCCCUGGUAAUUAUGAACUAGGUUUGGUGCUGCUGCAUGGCCUCCAUGGAGAAGCUUCCAUGAACCAUAUUGGGCCCAUGGUCGCCCCUUUCUUGCAACUGGAUCGAGGACCUACAACUCUUUAGAAGCUGAAGCCGAGGCGGCUUUCCUUCGGUCCCGAGCUCAACAUGUAGCUCGAGCUGCAUCUAGCAAUCCGGGACUGAUGAUGCAGUCAGGCUGUCCAUCUUGGAACGAUCAUCAUACCAUGAACCACCAGCAUAAACGAUUGCUGCAACCGACAGUGUGCAACGCUGAUGAUAUCCAUAUUUCUCUUGAUCUUGAUCUCGAUCUCUCGCUCGGUCUCCCCGUGCCGAGGAGGGAGGCGAAGCGGAAGAGAUCGGGCUGCGGCUGGGUGAAAGAAGGCCCUGAUGAGAAUGGAGCCGAUGAAGAACAAGUGGAUGAGACCAGCAGUGCCACUAUGCUAUCUCUGUCCUUGUUCUCUUCUGGGGAUGCUCCUCGGAAGAUGAGUAGCACUAGUGCUAGUGAUCGUGCAGUAGAUGAGCAUGCUACAAGGAGGGCAAGUACUCUUGAUCUCACCAUAUGAUCUACACAAUGUGGUGAUAUCUCGUGGUACUUAUCCAUGCAUACAUAUGUUAUAUAUUAUGUAGAGCGAACAUAUAUACCUAUGUUUUACCAUACAUAUUAUGUUAUCUUCUAAUUAAUGUUUGUUGGUUUAUAGGUCCAUCUAAAUUAAUGAAGAUAUGUCCUCAGGAAAAAAGUCGUAUGUUAGAAUAUAGGUAACAUGUAUUCACAUAACGUCGUAGGCUAGUAUGUAUACACAUACAGGUGCAACAAUGAGUUUAGAGAGAUAACACCCCCCACCCCCACCACACAGAAAGGAAGCAUCAUUACCAAUAUGCAAUUAUGCACGGUGAUCUCAUGCUUCACCAUGCAUAGUAUAUAUAACAAGACAAAAGUGAUUGUACUGAUAUAAAUACAAAAAAAUUCAAACAGCCACCAUAGCCAAGUCACCUAUGUUGUUAAGAGAGCCAUAACUCACAACUCAUCCUCCCACUCGAACAUGAAACUGUAAUUUAUUUUGUCGUCUUCCAGACAAUUAGAUAACCACCAAUUAAAAUACAGUAAGCAGAAAAUGACCGAUGACUCGAAGGAUCGUUAGCCCAAGUAGCAUAUGAAUAAGCCUAAAGUUGUAAUGAACUGGAGUAUGGGUAGGAAAGANNNNNNNNNNNNNNNNNNNNNNNNNNNNNNNNNNNNNNNNNNNNNNNNNNNNNNNNNNNNNNNNNNNNNNNNNNNNNNNNNNNNNNNNNNNNNNNNNNNNNNNNNNNNNNNNNNNNNNNNNNNNNNNNNNNNNNNNNNNNNNNNNNNNNNNNNNNNNNNNNNNNNNNNNNNNNNNNNNNNNNNNNNNNNNNNNNNNNNNNNNNNNNNNNNNNNNNNNNNNNNNNNNNNNNNNNNNNNNNNNNNNNNNNNNNNNNNNNNNNNNNNNNNNNNNNNNNNNNNNNNNNNNNNNNNNNNNNNNNNNNNNNNNNNNNNNNNNNNNNNNNNNNNNNNNNNNNNNNNNNNNNNNNNNNNNNNNNNNNNNNNNNNNNNNNNNNNNNNNNNNNNNNNNNNNNNNNNNNNNNNNNNNNNNNNNNNNNNNNNNNNNNNNNNNNNNNNNNNNNNNNNNNNNNNNNNNNNNNNNNNNNNNNNNNNNNNNNNNNNNNNNNNNNNNNNNNNNNNNNNNNNNNNNNNNNNNNNNNNNNNNNNNNNNNNNNNNNNNNNNNNNNNNNNNNNNNNNNNGGUGAUCUCAUGCUUCACCAUGUAUAGUAUAACAAGACAAAAGUGAUUGUACUGAUAUAAAUACAAAAAAAUUCAAGCAGCCACCAUAGCCAAGUCACCUAUGUUGUCAAGAGAGCCAUAACUCACAACUCAUCCUCCCACUCGAACGUGAAACUGUAAUUUAUUUGCCAUCUUCCAGACAAUUAGACAAUCACCAAGUAAAACACAUUAAGCCGAAAAUGACCAAUGAUUUGAACUUUUGAAGAAUCGGUAGCCCAAGUAGCAUCUGAAUAAGCCUAAAGUUGUAAUGAACUGGAGCAUGGGUAGAAAAGAUGAUGAGAGAGAGAGUACCUAAUUGGGGGCAAAGGUGUAAUGUGGACAAGGUAAAGUAUAUCUAGACUAGUGAUAGCAACAUAGACAAGACUCCCAACAAGAUGACGAUAGCUCGUCGGAGCUGACAAAUUUCAUAAGCCCGGAGGUGGACAAUGAGCUCCAUUGGAGUUUCAACAAUGCACUCAUGAAUAAGAUCGGCACAAGCAAGAAGAUUCUAAAUGUAUUUUCUCUUGAGAAAUAAAGAAGCCAUCAGACAUAAGAAAAACUUCAAUCCCAAGUAGAGAAGAAAACAAAGAUUGAACAGAAUAAAUUGUUCAUUAAGAUGAUACGUCAGAAAGGCAAUGUGCUCGGAGUCAUCUCUAGUGAUGAUCAAGCCAACGAAAUUGAGAAGAAGAAGAGUCUAACCACAUGAUGAUCGAUGUACAAAGAGUGCAGAGUCAUGAUCACUCGCUGAAAAACCAACAAUAGUGACCACUACAGAGGAGCUCUCAAACCAGACACGAGGGGCUUGUUUAAGUCCAUAUAGAGAGCAGCAAAGAUGAAAUAUCAUGACACGAGGAACAUAAUACCAAGAUGGAGGUAUGCAUGUAGACCUCCUUGCACAAUUCGCCUUUAAGAACUACGUUCUUGAUAUCAAGCUGAGAGGAAAACUAGUAGCAAAUGUAAACUAUAACAAGAAGGGUGUGAAAAGUGGUCAUGUGGGCCAUAUGAUGAGAUUUCUCGUCGCAGUCAUAACCAUGUCCCAUAAGAUGAGCAUUGCAAUGCUCAAUAAAACCAUCAGAGCAAGUCUUAACCAUGUAGAUCCACUUACAAAUGAUAGGACAAAUAGAAACAAAACAAGUACAACCCUUCAAAGCACAUUCCUUAUGCAGUCUUUGGGUGCCCCUGACCUCAUUUUGUUUUCCUCACUGUCUCUCGAUUUUUGCAUGACCAAUGCGGUCUUCUUGAGGUGAAACAUUGAGAUCAACAAUGGGGUCACCUGCGGGUGUCAUUCUCCUUCCUAGAGGCUUUGUGCAAGAAUGCAUGAUGUGGGCUUCUAGGUGCAAUGUGGUACCAGUCAAAAUCUCUGCAUUGACUUGCGUCAAUGCCGUUGCCGCCUCCUAGGGGCAUUGUUUUUUUCUUUCUUGGAAGCAUCACCACGACAACCCAUCCUCCCUCCAACAUUGUUGUGUUCGACAAUGGUGCAUGCGCUUGGCGAGUUCCGGUCUUUGUGUUGUUCUAUAAAACUCCGUUUCCAAGCUAAGUACUAUGCUCCACCCACCCUAUUGGUUGACCCACUUUCAUGUUGGGGGUGAGGUAUUGGUUGAACGGGACGGGGGGGGGGGUCCUUGGUGUUGGGGAAUGUAGCAGAAAUUCAAAAUUUUCCUACGUGUCACCAAGAUCUAUCUAUGGAGAAACCAGCAACGAGGGGAAGGAGAGUGCAUCUACAUACCCUUGUAGAUCGCUACGCGGAAGCGUUCAAGUGAACGGGGUUGAUGGAGUCGUACUCAUCGUGAUUCAAAUCACCGAUGAUCCUAGUGCCGAACGGAUGGCACCUCCGUGUUCAACACACGUACAGCCCGGUGACGUCUCCUACGCCUUGAUCCAGCAAGGGGAGAAGGAGAGGUUGGGAAGACUCCAUCCAGCAGCAGCACGACGGCGUGGUGGUGGUGGAGGAGCGUGGUACUCCAGCAGGGCUUCGCCAAGCACCGCGAGAUAUGAGGAGAAAGAGAGGUAGGGCUGCGCCAGGGAGAGGUUAAGAACUCAUGUGUGUUGGGCAGCCCAAACCUCAAGUAUAUAUAGGGGGAGGGGAGGGGCUGCGCCUCCACCUAGGGCUCCCUCCCUAGGGGUGGCGGCAGCCCCCAGAUCCCAUCUGGGUGGCGGCCACAAGGGGGAGAGGGGGAGGCGCACCUGGGGUGGGCCUUAGGGCCCAUCUGCCCUAGGGUUUGCCCCCUUCCCUCUUGGAGGCGCCUUGGGCCCUUGUUGGGGGGGGGGGGGGGGGCGCACCAGCCCACCUGGGGCUGGUCCCCUCCCACACUUGGCCCAUGUAGCCCUCCGGGGCUUGUGGCCCCACUUGGUGGACCCCCGGGACCCUCCCGGUGGUCCCGGUACGUUACCGAUAAACCCCGAAACUUUUCCGGUGACCAAAACAGGACUUCCCAUAUAUAAAUCUUUACCUCCGGACCAUUCCGGAACUCCUCGUGACGUCCGGGAUCUCAUCCGGGACUCCGAACAACAUUCGGUAACCACGUAUAUCUAUUCCCUAUAACCCUAGCGUCAUCGAACCUUAAGUGUGUAGACCCUACGGGUUCGGGAACCAUGCAGACAUGACCGACAUAACUCUCCGGUCAAUAACCAACAGCGGGAUCUGGAUACCCAUGUUGGCUCCCACAUGUUCCACGAUGAUCUCAUCAGAUGAACCACGAUGUUAAGGACUUAAUCAAUCCUGUAUACAAUUCCCUUUGUCCAGCGGUACGAUACUUGCCCGAGAUUCGAUCGUCGGUAUCCCGAUACCUUGUUCAAUCUCGUUACCGGCAAGUCUCUUUACUCGUUCCGUAACACAUCAUCCCGUGAUCAACUCCUUGAUCACAUUGUGCACAUUAUGAUGAUGUCCUACCGAGUGGGCCCAGAGAUACCUCUCCGUUUACACGGAGUGACAAAUCCCAGUCUCGAUUCGUGCCAACCCAACAGACACUUUUGGAGAUACCUGUAAUGUACCUUUAUGGCCACCCAGUUACGUUGUGACGUUUGGCACACCCAAAGCACUCCUACAGUAUCCGGGAGUUGCACAAUCUCAUGGUCUAAGGAAAUGAUACUUGACAUUAGAAAAGCUUUAGCAUACGAACUACAUGAUCUUGUGCUAGGCUUAGGAUUGGGUCUUGUCCAUCACAUCAUUCUCCCAAUGAUGUGAUCCCGUUAUCAACGACAUCCAAUGUCCAUGGUCAGGAAACUAUAACCAUCUAUUGAUCAACGAGCCAGUCAACUAGAGGCUUACUAGGGACAUGGUGUUGUCUAUGUAUCCACACAUGUAUCUGAGUUUCCUAUCAAUACAAUUCUAGCAUGGAUAAUAAACGAUUAUCAUGAACAAGGAAAUAUAAUAAUAACCAAUUUAUUAUUGCCUCUAGGGCAUAUUUCCAACAGUCUCCCACUUGCACUAGAGUCAAUAAUCCAGCUCACAUCGCUAUGUGAUUAACACUCAAGGUCACAUCCCCAUGUGACUAACACCCAAAGAGUUUACUAGAGUCAAUAAUCUAGUUCACAUUACCAUGUGAUCAACACUCGAUGAGUUCUGGGUUUGAUCAUGUUAUGCUUGUGAGAGAUGUUAUAGUCAACGGGUCUGAAUCUUUCAGAUCCGUGUGUGCUUUACAAAUCUCUAUGUCAUCUCCCAGAUGCAGCUACCACGUUCUAUUUGGAGCUAUUCCAAAUAACUGUUCUACUAUACGAAUCCAGUUUACUACUCAGAAUAAUCUGGAUUAGUGUCAAAGUUUGCAUCGGCGUAACCCUUUACGACGAACUCUUUUACCACCUCCAUAAUCAAGAAAAUUCCUUAGUCCACUAGUUACUAAGGAUAACUUUGACUGUUGUCCUGUGAUCCAUUCUUGGAUCACUCUUGUACCCCUUGACUGACUCAUGGCAAGGCACACUUCAGGUGCAGUACACAGUAUAGCAUACUGUAGAGAGCCUAUGACAAAAGCAUAGGGGACGACCUUCGUCCUUCCUCUUUCUUCUGCCGUGGUCGAGCUUUAAGUUUUAACUUCAUACCUUACAACUCAGGCAAGAACUCCUUCUUUGACUGAUCCAUCUUGAACACCUUCAAGAUCAUGUCAAGGUAUGUGCUUAUUUGAAAGUACCAUUAAGCGUUUUGAUCUAUCCUUAUAGAUCUUGAUGCUCAAUGUUCAAGUAGCUUAAUCCAGGCUUUCCAUUGAAAAACACUUUCCAAAUAACCUUACAUGCUUUCCAGAAAUUCUACGUUAUUUCUGAUCAACAAUAUGUCAAACAACAUAUACUCAUCAGAAAUUCUAUAGUGCUCCCACUCACUUCUUUGGAAAUACAAGUUUCCCAUAAACUUUGCAUACACCCAAAAUCUUUGAUCAUCUCAUCAAAGCAUACAUUCCAACUCCGAGAUGCUUACUCCAGUCCUUAGAAGGAUUGCUGGAUCUUUGCAUACUUAUUAGCAUCUUUCAGGAUUGACAAAACCUUCCGGUUGUAUCACAUACAACCUUUCCUCAAAAAAGUCGUCGAGGAAACAAUGUUUUGACAUCCUAUCUGCAAGAUUUCAUAAAUAAUGCAGUAAUCACUAAUAUAAUUCCAACAAACUCUUAGCAUCGCUACGAGUGAGAAAGUCUCAUCGUAGUCAACUCCUUGAACUUGUCAGAAAACAUCUUAACUACAAGUCGAGCUUUCUUAAUGGUGAUACUUACCAUCAUUGUCCGUCUUCCUUAUAAAAUCCAUAUGUACCUAACAGCCUUAUGACCAUCAAGUAGUUCUUCCAAAGUCUACACUUUGUUUUCAUAUAUGGAUCCUCUCUCGGAUUAUAUGGCCUCGAGCCAUUUUGGAAUCCAGGCCCACCAUCGCUUCUCCAUAGCUCGUAGGUUCAUUGUUGUCUAGCAACAUGACUUCCAAGACAGGAUUACGUACCACUCUAAAGUAGUACGCAUCCUUGUCAUCCCACGAGGUUUGGUAGUGACUUGAUCUGAAGUUUCAUGAUCACUAUCAUAAGCUUCCACUUCAAUUCGUGUAGGUGCCACAGGAACAACUCCCUAUGCCCUGCCACACACUAGUUGAAGAGACGGUUCAAUAACCUCAUCAAGUCUCCACCAUCCUCCCACUCAAUUCUUUUGAGAGAAACUUUUCCUCGAGAAAGGACCCGAUUAUAGAAACAAUCCCUUAUUGCUUUUGGAUCUGAGACAGGAGGUAUACCCAACUAUUUUGGGUGUCCUAUGAAGAUGCAUUUAUCCGCUUUGGGUUCGAGCUUAUCAGCCUGAAACUUUUUCACAUAAGCGUCGCAGCCCCAAACUUUUAAGAAAUGACAGCUUAGGUUUCUCUAAACCAUAGUUCAUACGGUGUCAUCUCAUCGGAAUUACGUGGUGCCCUAUUUAAAGUGAAUGUGGUUGUCUCUAAUGCUUAACCCAUAAAAUAUUGUGGUAAUUCGAUAAGAGACAUCAUGGUAUGCAUCAUAUCCAAUAGGGUGCAGUUAUGAUGUUCGGACACACCAUCACACUAUGGUGUUCCUGGCUGUAUUAGUUGUGAAACAAUUUCCACAACGUCUUAAUUCUGUGCCAAACUCGUAAUUCAGAUAUUCAUCUCUAUGAUCAUAUCAUAGAUCUUUUAUCCUCUUGUCACGAGGAUCUUACAACUUCACCCUGAAAUUACUUGAACCUUUCAAUAAUUCAGACUCGUGAUUCAUCAAGUAAAUAUACUCAACAUCUACUCAAAUCGUCUAUGAAGUAAGAACAUAACGAUAUCCACUACACGCCUCAGCACUCAUUGGACUGCACACAUCAAAAUGUAUUACUUCCAGCAAGUUGCUUUCUAGUUCCAUUUUACUGAAAACGAGGCUUUCAGUCAUCUUGCCCAUGUGGUAUGAUUUGCAUGUCUCAAGUGAUUCAAAAUCAAGUGAGUCCAAACGGUCCAUUUGCAUGGAGUUUCUUCAUGCAUAUACACCAAUAGACAUGGUUCGCAUGUCUCAGACUUUUCAAAAAUGAGUGAGCCCAAAGAUCCAUCAACAUGGAGCUUCUUCAUGCGUUUUAUGCCGAUAUGACUUAAGUGCCAGUGCCACAAGUAGGUGGUACUAUCAUUACUAUCUUAUAUCUUUUGGCAUGAACAUGUGUAUCACUACGAUCGAGAUUCAAUAAACCAUUCAUUUUAGGUGCAAGACCAUUGAAGGUAUUAUUCAAAUAAACAGAGUAACCAUUAUUCUCCUUAAAUGAAUAACCAUAUUGCAAUAGACAUAAUCCAAUCAUGUCUAUGUUGGAAAUAUGCCCUAGAGGCAAUAAUAAAAGCAUCAUUAUUAUAUUUCCUUGUUCAUGAUAAUUGUCUUUAUUCAUGCUAUAAUUGUGUUAUCCGGAAAUCGUAAUACAUGUGUGAAUAAUAGACACCAACAUGUCCCUAGUAAGCCUCUAGUUGACUAGCUCGUUGAUCAACAGAUAGUCAUGGUUUCCUGACUAUGGACAUUGGAUGUCAUUGAUAACGAGAUCACAUCAUUAGGAGAAUGAUGUGAUGGACAAGACCCAAUCCUAUACAUAGCACAAGAUCGUAUAGUUCGUUUGCUAGAGUUUUCCAAUGUCAAGUAUCCUUUCCUUAGACCAUGAGAUCGUGUAACUCCCGGAUACCAUAGGAGUGCUUUGGGUGUACCAAACGUCACAACGUAACUGGGUGACUAUAAAGGUAUACUACGGGUAUCUCCGAAAGUGUCUGUUGGGUUGACACGGAUCAAGACUGGGAUUUGUCACUCCGUAUGACGGAGAGGUAUCACUGGGCCCACUCGGUAAUGCAUCAUCAUAAUGAGCUCAAAGUGACCAAGUGUCUGGUCACGGGAUCAUGCAUUAUGGUACGAGUAAAGUGACUUGCCAGUAAUGAGAUUGAACGAGGUAUUGGGAUACUGACGAUCAGAUCUCGGGCAAGUAACAUACCAAUUGACAAAGGGAAUUGUAUACGGGGUUGCUUGAAUCCUCGACAUCGUGGUUCAUCCGAUGAGAUCAUCGAGGAGCAUGUGGGAGCCAACAUGGGUAUCCAGAUCCCGCUGUUGGUUAUUGACCAGAGAGCGAUCUCGGUCAUGUCUACAUGUCUCCCGAACCCGUAGGGUCUACACACUUAAGGUUCGGUGACGCUAGGGUUGUAGGGAUAUGUAUAUGCAGUAAUCCGAAUGUUGUUCGGAGUCCCGGAUGAGAUCCCGGACGUCACGAGGAGUUCCGGAAUGGUCCGGAGGUAAAGAAUUUUAUAUAGGAAGUGCUAUUUCGGCCAUCGGGACAAGUUUCGGGGUCAUCGGUAUUGUACCGGGACCACCGGAAGGGUCCCGGGGGUCCACCGGGUGGGGCCACCUGUCCCGGGGGGGCACAUGGGCUGUAGGGGGUGCGCCUUGGCCUACAUGGGCCAAGGGCACCAGCCCCAAGAGGCCCAUGCGCCUAGGGUUUCAAGGAGGAAGAGUCCUAGGAGGGGAAGGCACCUCCUAGGUGCCUUGGGGAGGAGGGAUUCCUCCCCUUGGCCGCACCCCCCUAGGAGAUUAGAUCUCCUAGGGCCGGCGCCCCCCCUUGGCCCUCCUAUAUAUUGUGGGGGAGAUGGAUGACUUCUUACCUUGAAAUUUGGUGCCUCCCUCUCCCUCUCCAACACCUCCUCCUCCUCCAUAGUGCUUGGCGAAGCCCUGCCGGAGUACUGCAGCUCCAUCACCACCACGCCGUCGUGCUGCUGCUGGAGCCAUCUCCCUCAACCUCUCCUUCCCCCUUGCUGGAUCAAGAAGAAGGAGACGUGGCUGUUCCGUACGUGUGUUGAACGCGGAGGUGCCGUCCAUUCGGCGCUAGGAUCUCCGGUGAUUUGGAUCACGUCGAGUAUGCCUUCCUCAUCCCCGUUCUUUGAACGCUUCCGCUCGUGAUCUACAAGGUACUUAGAUGCAUCUAAUCACUCAUUUCUAGAUGAACUCCUAGAUGGAUCUUGGUGAAACCGUAGGAAAAUUUUUGUUUUCUGCAACGUUCCCCAACAGUGGCAUCAUGAGCUAGGUCUAUGUGUAGUUCUUCUUGCGCGAGUAGAACACAAUUUGUUGUGGGCGUAGAUGUUGUCAACUUUCUUGCCGCUACUAGUCUUAUCUUGUUUCAACGGUAUUGUGGGAUGAAGCGGCCCGGACCAACCUUACACGUACGCUUAUGUGAGACCGGUUCCACUGACUAACAUGCACAAGUUGCAUAAGGUGGCUGGCGGGUGUCUGUCUCUCCUACUUUAGUUGGAGCGGAUUCGAUGAAAAGGGUCCUUAUGAAGGGUAAAUAGAAGUUGACAAAUCACGUUGUGGCUUUCACAUAGGUAAGAAAACGUUCUUGCUAGAACCCUACUUCAGCCACGUAAAAACUUGCAACAACAAUUAGAGGACGUCUAACUUGUUUUUGCAGCAAGUGCUUUGUGAUAUGAUAUGGCCAAAGUUGUGAUGAAUGAUGAAUGAUCUAUAUGUGAUGUAUGAGAUGUUCAUGCUAUUGUAAUAGGAAUCACGACUUGCAUGUCGAUGAGUAUGACAACCGGCAGGAGCCAUAGGAGUUGUCUUUAUUUUUUGUAUGACCCGCGUGUCAUUGAGAAACGCCAUGUAAAUUACUUUACUUUAUUGCUAAACGCGUUAGCCAUAGUAGUAGAAGUAAUAGUUGGCGAGCAACUUCAUGGAGACACGAUGAUGGAGAUCAUGGUGUCAUGCCGGUGACAAGAUGAUCAUGGAGCCCCAAGAUGGAGAUCAAAGGAGCUAUGUGAUAUUGGCCAUAUCAUGUCACUUUUAUUAUUUGAUUGCAUGUGAUGUUUAUCAUGUUUUUGCAUCUUGUUUACUUAGAACGACGGUAGUAAAGAAGAUGAUCCCUCAUAAUAAUUUCAAGAAAGUGUUCCCCCUAACUGUGCACCGUUGCGACAGUUCGUUGUUUCGAAGCACCACGUGAUGAUCGGGUGUUAGAUUCUAACGUUCACAUACAACGGGUGUAAGCCAGAUUUACACAUGCAAACACUUAGGUUGACUUGACGAGCCUAGCAUGUACAGACAUGGCCUCGGAACACAGAAGACCGAAAGGUCGAGCAUGAGUCGUAUAGAAGAUACGAUCAACAUGAAGAUGUUCACCGAUGUUGACUAGUUCGUCUCACGUGAUGAUCGGACACGGCCUAGUUAACUCGGAUCAUGUUAUACUUAGAUGACUAGAAGAGGGAUGUCCAUCUAAGUGGGAGUUCAUUGAAUAAUUUGAUUAGAUGAACUUAAUUAUCAUGAACUUAGUCUAAAAACUUUACAAUAUGUCUUGUAGAUCAAAUGGCCAACGUAGUCCUCAACUUCAACGCGUUCCUAGAGAAAACCAAGCUGAAAGACGAUGGCAGCAACUACACGGACUGGGUCCGGAACCUGAGGAUCAUCCUCAUAGCUGCCAAGAAAGAUUAUGUCCUACAAGCACCGCUAGGUGACGCACCUAUUCUCCCUGCAGAACAAGACGUUAUGAACGCUUGGCAGGCACGUACCGAUGACUACUCCCUCGUUCAGUGCGGCAUGCUUUACAGCUUAGAGCCGGGGCUCCAAAAGCGUUUUGAGAGACACGGAGCAUAUGAGAUGUUCGAAGAGCUGAAAAUGGUUUUCCAAGCUCAUGCCCGGGUCGAGAGAUAUCAAGUCUCCGACAAGUUCUUCAGCUGUAAGAUGGAGGAAAACAGUUCUGUCAGUGAGCACAUACUCACUAUGUCUGGGUUGCAUAACCGCUUGACUCAGCUGGGAGUUAAUCUCCCGGAUGACGCGAUCAUUGACAUAAUCCUUCAGUCGCUUCCACCGAGCUACAAGAGCUUUGUGAUGAACUUCAAUAUGCAGGGGAUGGAAAAGACCAUUCCUGAAGUAUUUGCAAUGCUGAAAUCAGCAGAGGUAGAAGUCAAAAAGGAACAUCAAGUGUUGAUGGUGAAUAAAACCACUAAGUUCAAGAAAGGCAAGGGUAAGAAAACCUUCAAGAAGGACGGCAAGGGAGUUGCCGCGCCCGGCAAGCAAGCUGCCGGGAAGAAGCCAAAGAAUGGACCCAAGCCCGAGACUGAGUGCUUUUAUUGCAAGGAGAGUGGUCACUGGAAGCGGAACUGCCCCAAAUACUUAGCGGACAAGAAGGCCGGCAAAACGAAAGGUAUAUGUGAUAUACAUGUAAUUGAUGUGUACCUUACCAGUACUCGUAGUAGCUCCUGGGUAUUUGAUACCGGUGCGGUUGCUCACAUUUGUAACUCAAAACAGGAGCUGUAGAAUAAGCGGAGACUGGCAAAGGACGAGGUGACGAUGCGCGUCGGGAAUGGUUCCAAGGUCAAUGUGAUCACCGUUGGCACGCUACCUCUACAUUUACCUUCGGGAUUAGUUUUAAACCUUAAUAAUUGUUAUUUAGUGCCAGCUUUGAGCAUGAACAUUGUAUCAGGAUCUCGUUUAAUUCGAGAUGGCUACUCAUUUAAAUCCGAGAAUAAUGGUUGUUCUAUUUAUAUGAGAGAUAUGUUUUAUGGUCAUGCUCCGAUGGUGAAUGGUUUAUUCUUAAUGAAUCUCGAGCGUAAUGCUACACAUGUUCAUAGUGUGAGUACCAAAAGAUGUAAGAUUGAUAAUGAUAGUCCCACAUACUUGUGGCACUGCCGCCUUGGUCACAUAGGUGUCAAACGCAUGAAGAAGCUCCAUGCAGAUGGACUUUUAGAGUCUCUUGAUUACGAAUCAUUUGACACGUGCGAACCAUGCCUCAUGGGUAAAAUGACCAAGACUCCGUUCUCAGGAACAAUGGAGCGAGCAACCAACUUAUUGGAAAUCAUACAUACUGAUGUGUGCGGUCUAAUGAGCGUUGAGGCUCGCGGUGGCUAUCGUUAUGUUCUCACCCUCAUUGAUGACUUGAGUAGAUAUGGGUAUGUCUACUUAAUGAAACACAAGUCUGAGACCUUUGAAAAGUUCAAGGAAUUUCAGAGUGAGGUUGAGAAUCAACGUGACAGGAAAAUCAAGUUCCUGCGAUCAGACCGUGGAGGUGAAUACUUGAGUCACGAGUUUGGCACACACUUAAGAAAAUGUGGAAUAGUUUCACAACUCACGCCGCCUGGAACACCUCAGUGUAAUGGUGUGUCCGAACGUCGUAAUCGCACUCUAUUAGACAUGGUGCGAUCUAUGAUGUCUCUUACCAAUUUACCGCUAUCUUUUUGGGGCUAUGCUUUAGAGACUGCCGCAUUCACUUUAAAUAGGGCUCCGUCGAAAUCCGUUGAGACGACACCGUAUGAAUUAUGGUUUGGGAAGAAACCUAAGCUGUCGUUUCUAAAAGUUUGGGGAUGCGAUGCUUAUGUCAAGAAACUUCAACCUGAAAAGCUCGAACCCAAGUCAGAAAAAUGCGUCUUCAUAGGAUACCCUAAAGAAACUAUUGGGUAUACCUUCUACCUCAGAUCCGAAGGCAAGAUCUUUGUUGCCAAGAAUGGGUCCUUUCUAGAGAAAGAGUUUCUCUCGAAAGAAGUAAGUGGGAGGAAAGUAGAACUUGAUGAAGUAUUACCUCUUGAACCGGAAAAUGGCGCAACUCAAGAAAAUGUUCCUGAGGUGCCUGCACCGACUAGAGAGGAAGUUAAUGAUGAUGAUCAAGAUACUUCUGAUCAAGCUCCUACUGAAAUUCGAAGGUCCACAAGGACACGUUCCGCACCAGAGUGGUACGUCAACCCUGUCUUGGAAAUCAUGUUGUUAGACAACGCUGAACCUUCGAACUAUGAAGAAGCGAUGGCGGGCCCGAAUUCCGACAAAUGGCUAGAAGCCAUGAAAUCCGAGAUAGGAUCCAUGUAUGAAAACGAAGUAUGGACUUUGACUGACUUGCCCGUUGAGCGGCGAGCCAUAGAAAAUAAAUGGAUCUUUAAGAAGAAGACAGACGCGGAUGGUAAUGUGACCAUCUAUAAAGCUCGGCUUGUCGCUAAGGGUUAUCGACAAGUUCAAGGGGUUGACUACGAUGAGACUUUCUCAUCGGUAGCGAAGCUAAAGUCCGUUCGGAUCAUGUUAGCAAUUGCCGCAUUCUAUGAUUAUGAAAUAUGGCAAAUGGACGUCAAAACGGCAUUCCUUAAUGGUUUCCUUAAGGAAGAAUUGUAUAUGAUGCAGCCGGAAGGUUUUGUCGAUCCUAAGAAUGCUGACAAGGUGUGCAAGCUCCAACGCUCGAUUUAUGGGCUGGUGCAAGCAUCUCGGAGUUGGAACAUUCGCUUUGAUGAGAUGAUCAAAGCGUUUGGGUUUAGGCAGACUUAUGGAGAAGCCUGUGUUUACAAGAAAGUGAGUGGGAGCUCUGUAGCAUUUCUCAUAUUAUAUGUAGAUGACAUACUUUUGAUGGGAAAUGAUAUAGAACUCUUGGACAACAUUAAGGCCUACUUGAAUAAAAGUUUUUCAAUGAAGGACCUUGGAGAAGCUGCUUAUAUAUUAGGCAUCAAGAUCUACAGAGAUAGAUCAAGACGCCUCAUAGGUCUUUCACAAAGCACAUACCUUGAUAAGAUAUUGAAGAAGUUCAAUAUGGAUCAGUCUAAGAAGGGGUUCUUGCCAGUGUUGCAAGGUGUGAAAUUGAGCUCAGCUCAAUGUCCGACCACGGCAGAAGAUAUAGAAGAGAUGAGUGUCAGCCCCUAUGCCUCAGCCAUAGGUUCUAUUAUGUAUGCCAUGCUGUGUACCAUACCUGAUGUAAACCUUGCCGUAAGUUUGGUAGGAAGGUACCAAAGUAAUCCCGGCAAGGAACACUUGAUAGCGGUCAAGAAUAUCCUGAAGUACUUGAAAAGGACUAAGGAAAUGUUUCUCGUUUAUGGAGGUGACGAAGAGCUCGUCGUAAAAGGUUACGUCGACGCUAGCUUCGACACAGAUCUGGAUGACUCUAAGUCACAAACCGGAUACGUGUAUAUUUUGAAUGGUGGGGCAGUAAGCUGGUGCAGUUGCAAGCAAAGCGUCGUGGCGGGAUCUACAUGUGAAGCGGAGUACAUGGCAGCCUCGGAGGCAGCGCAUGAAGCAAUUUGGGUGAAGGAGUUCAUCACCGACCUAGGAGUCAUACCCAAUGCGUCGGGGCUGAUCAAGCUCUUCUGUGACAACACUGGAGCUAUUGCUCUCGCCAAGGAGCCCGGGUUUCACAAGAAGACGAGGCACAUCAAGCGUCGCUUCAACUCCAUUCGUGAAAAUGUUCAAGAUGGAGACAUAGAUAUUUGUAAAGUACAUACGGACCUAAAUGUAGCAGAUCCAUUGACUAAACCUCUCCCUAGAGCAAAACAUGAUCAACACCAGAAUUCCAUGGGUGUUCGAUUCAUCACAAUGUAACUAGAUUAUUGACUCUAGUGCAAGUGGGAGACUGUUGGAAAUAUGCCCUAGAGGCAAUAAUAAAAGCAUUAUUAUUAUAUUUCCUUGUUCAUGAUAAUUGUCUUUAUUCAUGCUAUAAUUGUGUUAUCCGGAAAUCGUAAUACAUGUGUGAAUAAUAGACACCAACAUGUCCCUAGUAAGCCUCUAGUUGACUAGCUCGUUGAUCAACAGAUAGUCAUGGUUUCCUGACUAUGGACAUUGGAUGUCAUUGAUAACGAGAUCACAUCAUUAGGAGAAUGAUGUGAUGGACAAGACCCAAUCCUAAACAUAGCACAAGAUCGUAUAGUUCGUUUGCUAGAGUUUUCCAAUGUCAAGUAUCCUUUCCUUAGACCAUGAGAUCGUGUAACUCCCGGACACCGUAGGAGUGCUUUGGGUGUACCAAACGUCACAACAUAACUGGGUGACUAUAAAGGUAUACUACGGGUAUCUCCGAAAGUGUCUGUUGGGUUGACACGGAUCAAGACUGGGAUUUGUCACUCCGUAUGACGGAGAGGUAUCACUUGGCCCACUCAGUAAUGCAUCAUCAUAAUGAGCUCAAAGUGACCAAGUGUCUGGUCACGGGAUCAUGCAUUAUGGUACAAGUAAAGUGACUUGCCAGUAACGAGAUUGAACGAGGUAUUGGGAUACCGACGAUCAGAUCUCGGGCAAGUAACAUACCGAUUGACAAAGGGAAUUGUAUACGGGGUUGCUUGAAUCCUCGACAUCGUGGUUCAUCCGAUGAGAUCAUCGAGGAGCAUGUGGGAGCCAACAUGGGUAUCCAGAUCCCGCUGUUGGUUAUUGACCGGAGAGCGAUCUCGGUCAUGUCUACAUGUCUCCCGAACCCGUAGGGUCUACACACUUAAGGUUCGGUGACGCUAGGGUUGUAGGGAUAUGUAUAUGCAGUAACCCGAAUGUUGUUCGGAGUCCCGGAUGAGAUCCCGGACGUCACGAGGAGUUCCGGAAUGGUCCGGAGGUAAAGAAUUAUAUAUAGGAAGUGCUAUUUCGGCCAUCGGGACAAGUUUCGGGGUCAUCGGUAUUGUACCGGGACCACCGGAAGGGUCCCGGGGGUCCACCGGGUGGGGCCACCUGUCCCGGGGGGCCACAUGGGCUGUAGGGGGUGCGCCUUGGCCUACAUGGGCCAAGGGCACCAGCCCCAAGAGGCCCAUGCGCCUAGGGUUUCAAGGAGGAAGAGUCCUAGGAGGGGAAGGCACCUCCUAGGUGCCUUGGGGAGGAGGGAUUCCUCCCCUUGGCCGCACCCCCCUAGGAGAUUAGAUCUCCUAGGGCCGGCGCCCCCCCUUGGCCCUCCUAUAUAUAGUGGGGGAGAUGGAGGACUUCUUACCUUGAUCUUUGGUGCCUCCCUCUCCCUCUCCAACACCUCCCCCUCCUCCAUAGUGCUUGGCGAAGCCCUGCCGGAGUACUGCAGCUCCAUCACCACCACGCCGUCGUGCUGCUGCUGGAGCCAUCUCCCUCAACCUCUCCUUCCCCCUUGCUGGAUCAAGAAGAAGGAGACGUGGCUGUUCCGUACGUGUGUUGAACGCGGAGGUGCCGUCCGUUCGGCGCUAGGAUCUCCGGUGAUUUGGAUCACGUCGAGUACGCCUUCCUCAUCCCCGUUCUUUGAAUGCUUCCGCUCGCGAUCUACAAGGUACGUAGAUGCAUCUAAUCACUCGUUGCUAGAUGAACUCCUAGAUGGAUCUUGGUGAAACCAUAGGAAAUUUUUUGUUUUCUGCAACGUUCCCCAACAGUCUAUGCUCAACGCAAACACCAAUCUCGAUGGUAGAGGGAGCGUGCGAUGCUUGAUCACAUCAAGCUUGGGAAAAACUUCCAACACAUAUCGCCAGCUCACCUUUAGCUAGUCUCCGUUUACUCUGCAGCCUUUUAUUUCGAGUUUACUAACACUUAGCAACCGAACCGGUAUCUAAUACCAUGGUGCUACUGGGAGUACUAGUAAAGUACACAUUAACACAAUGUAUAUCCAAUAUACUUCUAUCGACCUUGCCAGCCUUCUUUAUCUACCAAGUAUCUGGGGUGGUUCUGCUUCAGUGACUGUUCCCCUUAUUACAGAAGCACUUAGUCUCGGGCUUGGGUUCAACUUUGGGUUUCUUCACUAGAAUAGCAACUGAUUUGUUGUUCCAUGAAGUAUCCCUUUCUUGCCCUUGCCCUUCUUGAAACUAGUGGUUUUACUAACCAUCAACGAUUGAUGCUCCCUUUUGAUUUCUACUUUUGUGGUGUCAAACAUCGCGAAUAUCUCAAGGAUCAUCAUAUAUGUCCCUGAUAUAUUAUAGUUCAUCACGAAGCUCUAGAAGCUUGGUGGUAAUGACUUCGGAGAAACAUCACUAUCUCAUUUGGAAGAUCAACUCCCACUCGAUUCAAAUGAUUGUUGUACUCAGACAAUCUGAGCACAAGCUUAACAAUUGAGCUUUUCUCCCUUAGUUUGCAGGCUAAGAAAAUCGUCGGAGGUCUUAUACCUCUUGACGUGGGCACGAGCCUGAAAUCCCAAUUUCAGCCCUCAAAACAUCUCAUAUGUUUCGCGACGUUUGAAAACCGUCUUCGGUGCCUCAACUCUAAAUCGUUUAACUGAACUAUCACGUAGUUAUCAAAACGUGUAUGUCAGAUGUUCGCAACAUCCACAGACGACGUUCGAGGUUCAGCACACUGAGCGGUGCAUUAAGGACAUAAGCCUUUUAUGAGGACAAUCCUCAGUUUACGGACCUAGUUCGCAUAAUUGCUACUAUCAAAUUUCAACUAAAUUUUCUCUAGGAGCAUAUCUAAACAGUAGAACUGAAGCGCGAGCUACGACAUAAUUUGCGAAGACCUUUUGACUAUGUUCAGGAUAAUUAAGUUCAUCUUAUGAACUCCCACUCAGACUGACAUCCCUCUAGUCAUCUAAGUGAUUACAUGAUCCGAGUCAACUAGGCCGUGUCCGAUCAUCACGUGAGACGGACUAGUCAACAUCGGUGAACAUCUUCAUGUUGAUCGUAUCUACCAUACGACUCAUGCUCGACCUUUCGGUCUCUUGUGUUCCGAGGCCAUGUCUGUACAUGCUAGGCUCGUCAAGUUAACCUAAGUGUUUCGCAUGUGUUCCGAGGCCAUGUCUGUACAUGCUAGGCUCGUCAACACCCGUUGUGUUCGAACGUAAGAAUCUAUCACACCCGAUCAUCACGUGGUGCUUCGAAACAACAAACUGUCGCAACGGUGCACAGUUAGGGGGAACACUUUCUUGAAAUUAUUAUGAGGGAUCAUCUUAUUUACUACCGUCGUUCUAAGCAAAUAAGAUGUAAACAUGAUAAACAUCACAUGCAAUCAAAUAGUGACAUGAUAUGGCCAAUAUCAUACUGCUCCUUUUGAUCUCCAUCUUCGGGGCUCCAUGAUCAUCAUCGUCACCGGCAUGACACCAUGAUCUCCAUCAUCAUGAUCUCCAUCAUCGUGUCUUCGUGAAGUUGUCUUGCCAACUAUUACUUCUACUACUACAGCUAAAGGUUAGCAAUAAAGUAAAGUAAUUACAUGACGUUUUAUGUUGACACGCAGGUCAUAAAUAAAUUAAUACAACUCCUACGGCUCCUGCCGGUUGUCAUACUCAUCGACAUGCAAGUCAUGAUUCCUAUUACAAGAACAUGAUCAAUCUCAUACAUCACAUAUCAUUCAUCACAUUCUUCUUGGCCAUAUCACAUCACAUAGCAUACCCUGCAAAAACAAGUUAGACGUCCUCUAAUUGUUAUUUGCAUGUUUUACGUGGCUGCUAUGGGUUUCUAGCAAGAACGUUUCUUACCUACGCAAAAACCACAACGUGAUAUGCCAAUUGCUAUUUACCCUUCAUAAGGACCCUUUUCAUCGAAUCCGAUCCGAGUAAAGUGGGAGAGACAGACACCCGCUAGCCACCUUAUGCAACUAGUGCAAGUCAGUCGGUGGAACCAGUCUCACGUAAGAGUACGUGUAAGGUCGGUCUUGGCCGCUUCAUCCCACAAUGCCGCCGAAUCAAGAUUGGACUAGUAACGGUAAGCAUAUUGAACAAAAUCAAUGCCCACAACUACUUUGUGUUCUACUCGUGCAUAGAAACUACGCAUAGACCUAGCUCAUGAUACCACUGUUGGGGAACGUAGCAGAAAUUCAAAAUUUUCCUACGUGUCACCAAGAUCUAUCUAUGGAGAAACCAGCAACGAGGGGAAGGAGAGUGCAUCUACAUACCCUUGUAGAUCGCUACGCGGAAGCGUUCAAGUGAACGGGGUUGAUGGAGUCGUACUCAUCGUGAUUCAAAUCACCGAUGAUCCUAGUGCCGAACGGACGGCACCUUCGUGUUCAACACACAUACAGCCCGGUGACGUCUCCUACGCCUUGAUCCAGCAAGGGGAGAAGGAGAGGUUGGGAAGACUCCAUCCAGCAGCAGCACGACGGCGUGGUGGUGGUGGAGGAGCGUGGUACUCCAGCAGGGCUUCGCUAAGCACCGCGAGAUAUGAGGAGAAAGAGAGGUAGGGCUGCGCCAGGGAGAGGUUAAGAACUCAUGUGUGUUGGGCAGCCCAAACCUCAAGUAUAUAUAGGGGGAGGGGAGGGGCUGCGCCUCCACCUAGGGUUCCCUCCCUAGGGGUGGCGGCAGCCCCCGGAUCCCAUCUGGGUGGCGGCCACAAGGGGGAGAGGGGAGGUGCACCUAGGGUGGGCCUUAGGGCCCAUCUGCCCUAGGGUUUGCCCCCUUCCCUCUUGGAGGCGCCUUGGGCCCUUGUGGGGGGGCGCACCAGCCCACCUGGGGCUGGUCCCCUCCCACACUUGGCCCAUGUAGCCCUCCGGGGCUUGUGGCCCCACUUGGUGGACCCCCGUGACCCUCCCGGUGGUCCCGGUACGUUACCGAUAAACCCCGAAACUUUUCCGGUGACCAAAACAGGACUUCCCAUAUAUAAAUCUUUACCUACGGACCAUUCCGGAACUCCUCGUGACGUUCGGGAUCUCAUCCGGGACUCCGAACAACAUUCGGUAACCACGUAUAUCUAUUCCCUAUAACCCUAGCGUCAUCGAACCUUAAGUGUGUAGACCCUACGGGUUCGGGAACCAUGCAGACAUGACCGACAUAACUCUACGGUCAAUAACCAACAGCGGGAUCUGGAUACCCAUGUUGGCUCCCACAUGUUCCACAAUGAUCUCAUCAGAUGAACCAUGAUGUCAAGGACUUAAUCAAUCCCGUAUACAAUUCCCUUUGUCCAGCGGUACGAUACUUGCCCGAGAUUCGAUCGUCGGUAUCCCGAUACCUUGUUCAAUCUCGUUACCGGCAAGUCUCUUUACUCGUUCCAUAACACAUCAUCCCGUGAUCAACUCCUUGAUCACAUUGUGCACAUUAUGAUGAUGUCCUACCGAGUGGGCCCAGAGAUACCUCUCCGUUUACACGGAGUGACAAAUCCCAGUCUUGAUUCGUGCCAACCCAACAGACACUUUCGGAGAUACCUGUAAUAUACCUUUAUAGCCACCCAGUUACGUUGUGACGUUUGGCACACCCAAAGCACUCCUACGGUAUCCGGGAGUUGCACAAUCUCAUGGUCUAAGGAAAUGAUACUUGACAUUAGAAAAGCUUUAGCAUACGAACUACAUGAUCUUGUGCUAGGCUUAGGAUUGGGUCUUUUCCAUCACAUCAUUCUCCCAAUGAUGUGAUCCCGUUAUCAACGACAUCCAAUGUCCAUGGUCAGGAAAUCGUAACCAUCUAUUGAUCAAUGAGCCAGUCAACUAGAGGCUUACUAGGGACAUGGUGUUGUCUAUGUAUCCACACAUGUAUCUGAGUUUCCUAUCAAUACAAUUCUAGCAUGGAUAAUAAACGAUUAUCAUGAACAAGGAAAUAUAAUAAUAACCAAUUUAUUAUUGCCUUUAGGGCACAUUUCCAACACUUGGAUGGCUUUUGAGGUUCACAAUGCUUAUAUAGUGAUCAUGUUUUCUCCUGUGGUGAUGGUUGUGAGAUCAAGGCCAAAGGAAGGUGCGGUGAUCAUCUUGAUGCAACAUCAACAACUUUUGGUCUCCUAGUGUGACCUUAGUUGCGGGGUACCCUUCGAUGAAUUUUGUCACUCUCCUAGUUCUGUAAGAUGUAGAGUGAUCACUGGCAAACAUGUGAUGUUCCUUUCGGAGUCUCAACAACAUAUUCCUUUUGACUGAUCCAAAGUCUCUCCUUCCCGCUCUUCUCGGUAGGUUCAUGUGGUGUUGAGUGAUAAGUAUAAGUCUUGGUGGUGUUUUCCUAGGAGAUAACUUGUUCCAGAAUUUCUUUCUCUGUCCCCAUGUGUUUUUUCUUGUGUAAGUGUGGUGUACUACAAUUGAUAGCCCUGGUGUUUGCACCCUUGUUUUAUUUAAUUUAAAUGAUUUUAUGCUCGCUGAAACUUGCAUAAGAAAGAAAACCACACUAAAACGAGUGAAUAUUCCAUGGCAAGAACAUGCCCUCGAAUGUAAAUAUGUAUUAUAGGGAUCAACUGCGAUUCUAUGUGUAAGCUGUGGGGUCAGCUGACGCCAUAACUUCUCUUAUUACAAGCUUAAUUCUAUUCAUAUUUGAGCAAAAUUUUAGGAAAUUUUAGAGAUAUUAGUGUACUUGAACCCACAACUUUUGGGUGUUGGCACCGCCACUAGCAGGGAUGUUGUCUAAUCACACUUCGAGCAUAUCUAGCCCUUCCCCUAAAAACCUUUAACCCUCUACGAAAUAUUUCAUUUAGGGAAUUAACACCCAUGUAACCCCUCCCACAAACAUUUAAUACAUAAAAAUAUAGCUUUUGAUCCCUCAACCGCUCUGGCCUAAAUUUGCUCUAAAAAUAAUAACCCACAACAAAUAUAGCUUUUGCUUGCUCCGCUCCAUCACUCCCAACUAGACUACUGUCAUUGUUGCCCCAAUCGCUGUCAACAAGCACCGCCCCACCGUGCCUCUCCCCUUUAUCCGUCCCGCCCCCGUAGCCAUGCCUUCCCUCACUGCCUCCUCCCUCAUCAUUGCUAGAAUCCGCCGAAAACCUUCGUUUCUAUCACCAUCGCAAAAUUCACUGCCAACCCCCAAUGUUGUAGGGAAUGGACCCACAGGAGCAUCGUGAUGUCAUAGGAUACCAACACGCAUGCCCAUGCCGGUUGGCAAUGCUAUAAUCAGUUGGGCUCACCGUCGCCAUCGUUGAGAUUGUUGCCGCUUCCUUCGUCUUGUAUGUGUCAUCACCGACACUGGGAAUCAUUGCUGCGGGAUGCUAGGGACCAUUGCCGGCCUCCUUCAAGUUGCCCGGUCAUCGCCGGAGCUACAUCGCCAACCAUUGUGGCUUGGACCUCCUCCGUACGCAAGAUACUCCGCUAAUUGCCCCCCAACAAUUAUUUUGUUUCCUUUUUCUAUGUGUUUUCAUCAUUUAUGGUCCCCAAUUGAUCAUGGAACACUCCAAUGUGAGAUUGUAGGAGAAUUACUUUGACGAUUAAUCAUCGGAGUAGAAAGAAGAACAUGAUGAUUUCGAGAUGGCCUUUGCCGCGAUCAUUUGAGAGGAGGAUUUUAGGAGACUGCGGCUUGGUUCUCAGAGUGGACACAUCUGGAUUCAUGUACAUAGGGUAAAGGCUCAUGAUGAUCUAGUAGGAAUUGCUUUGCGCCGAAUGCAACAUAUCUGGAGAAGUGUUUUCAUCUGUGAUUUUGGAUGCACAACAUAUCUUCAACACCAUUGCAAGAGUUGUUGAGAAGACCAUGAUCCUUGGUUCAAACUAAAAAGAAAUGUUGUGGGAGAAGUCACUGCAAGUCCAUUCUUGAAGAUUACCACGGGCAUGCAAGUGCUUGCACACGGAUGCCCGACUGACACCAAUGAUGAUUAUGUCCGCAUUGGGGAAGUAUCAUCCUUGACUGUGUGGAGUGAUUCACCCAAGCUGUGCUCGAGGUUUUUGGACAUGAGUACUUGAGGGCACCCAUAGAUGAAGAUACAAAAAGGCUUUUGGCAGAAAGUGAAGAUAGAGGUUGGCCAGGGAUGUUGGGAUCCAUUGAUUGUAUUGCAUUAGACAUGGAAGAAUUGUCAUGUGGCAUGGCAAGGUUAGUUCAAAGGACAUUGUCAUGAUCCAAUCAUCAUUCUUGAUGCAGUUGCAUUACAAGAUAUGUGGAUUUAACGUUCAUACUUAAGGAUGCCUGGAUCACAUAGUGACCUCAGUGUUCACUAGACAUCUCCUCUAUUUGCAGGACUUGUUGUUGGUGAAGUUCCACCUUGUAACUAUGUUGUCAAUUGCCAUGAGUACAACAUGGGCUACUACAUUGUCGAUGAUAUCUAUACUCCAUGAGCCACAUGUUUGAAGACAAUCUAAUGUUCCCAAGGCAACAAGAGAUCUCCCUUCACUACGUGUCAAGAAUAUGUGAGAAAGUAUGUUGGGAGAGCUUUUGGUGUGCUUAAAAGAUGCUUUAAAAUUGUCUGUGGCCCUGCUGAGUAUUGGAAGCCUUAGAGACUAUGGAAGAUCAUGAAAACAUGUGUUAUAUUGCAAAAUGUUAUCAUCGAGGGCGAGAGGAAUGACCAAGAACUUGGGGUUCAUCUACAAUUGUGGCAUGGUGGAACUGUAUCAUCACCCAAACAUGAUCUAAGCAUUCCUCGAAGCAGACGAAGGAUCGAGAACCAAUAAACUCACAACUAAUACUAAGAUGAUCUUGUUGAGCAACAUUGGCAACUUUAUAACACUUGAUUCUUGUGCUUUGAUCAUUUUUAUUUAGAUUAUUAGUUCAUUCAGACCGUAUGGUGUGUUGGAAUUUUAAAACAUUGAAUUUGGUAUGUAUAUGAAUUGUGUGUAUUUGAAAUCCCAAGUUUUGGAUUAAUAUGAUGUGAAAAUAUAUGUUCAAAUGGAGUUUGUAUGCGAACGCUUGGAAAAAAAUACUCUCUCCGUUCCUAAAUAUAUGUCUUUAUAGAUAUUCCAAUAUGAACUACAUACAGAUAUAUAUAGACGUAGUUUAGAAUGUAGAUUCAUUUAUUUUGCUCCGAAUGUAGUCCAUAUUGAAAUCUCUAGAAAGCUUAUAUUUAGGAACGGAGGGAGUAUAUUUUAGAGGAUUAAGUUUCAGGGCUAAGUGCAAAAAAAAAAUCAAUCUCUCAAAUUUUAGGGGGAAUUUACUGGAUGAAAUAUAAGGGACCGUUAGAGACGCUCUUGUAUAACCUGUGUUUUCGGAUACCAUACUUAGGGCAUCUCCAACUCUGACCCCCAAAUUUCCUCCCACAUCCAUCCACGGACAGGGGACCAGUUUACGGACACGGGUGCGGGAGUUGGCCAUCCAACACUACAUGCAUACACGUUUAAACAAACCGGAUGAAAUUUAAACAAACUCGACGGAUUUCAUUCAAGUUCAGAAAUAAUUUACAUAAAAAGUCGAUAUUUCGACCAUUUAACUAAAAACUUUUAAAAUAAUUAAACCCUAUACCGGAUGACCAUCUCGUAGGCGUGGCCGCCCUGCCUUGCCGCACCAUCGUCACCGUCCGUGUCGUCCCUCCAACCGCGAAAGCGCGGCGGGGAUGGUGGCUCCUCCUUGACGCGCACCGGCGAUGGUUGCGCCGGACCCAUGUGACGGAGCGAACACUCCAUCAUCAUCCGUCAGGGUGGCCUCACGCGAGAAGGCGGGGCUGCUGCUCGAGCCGUUGUUGCGGCAUCUGGUCCUCCUCCUCGUCGGAAGAGAUGACAAUCUCAUCCUUGCCGGAGGAGCCAGCCGCCGUGGAUGCCGAGGUGCCAGGAGAGCGACGACGGCGGCGCCAAAAUCUGCCUGAAGAAGAACUGCCACGGCCACGGCCUCCGCCUGCCGGCGCGGAGAACCAUGACUUUGGCAUCGGCACUGGAAUUUUGGGGGCUCAGAGAGGAGUGGCACAAGAGGAGGAGGUGUGGACGUGCAUCACCGGCGCGCAUCUUAAAUAGCCGCGCCCACGACCACGCGAACCGGCGGUCAACCCGCUUCAAUGCGGCGCAACGGCCAGAGUUCGUUUCUCAGAACGCGGUGUCGCAUUAAAGCGACGACGCUCUAGAGGUCGCAUCUGUCAGCGUCACCCUCACGUCCGGUUACGUCGCGCAACAUCAAUGCCGUCCGGUGCAUACUCUGGGCCGGUAUGAAUGCGGCGCGGCAACGGCGCCGACGUUCGAUGAAAAGUGCGGGUGAGGCGGGUGGGUUUCUUUGGUGGGCCAGUGUAGUUAGAAGCGGGCGUGGCAUCGUUUCGGACGCCCGCAAAGCCACCCAAUUUAUCUCCGGUUUGAACAUUUGUGACCAGCUUACGAACCGAUACAGAUACAGGUCCGUGUUGAAUGACAAAACGCGUCCGAAAAGUGUGGUCAAGGAGGUUGCGAGUAGUUUAAGGGUCCGCGUAGGAGAUGCCCUUAUAUAUGACCUUCUUUUAGCGGGGCUCAUAUCACCUUGAUAGAGCACAGUAUGCCAUGUUUACUUUCAAAUAGAGUAUGCUCACGUCCUCAUGAAGACAUGCACGCAGUCAAAUUUACUCCCUCCGUUUCUAAAUACUUGUCUUUCUAGGCAUUUCAACAAGUGACUACAUACGGAGCAAAAUGAGUGAAUUUGCACUCUAAAAUAUGUCUACAUACAUCCGUAUGUAGUAGUCAUUUAAAAUGUCUAGAAAGACAAGUAUUUAGGAACGGAGGGAGUACUACAGUAUGCAUGUUUGACAAACAAUAUAUUUACGACAGACUUUCUACGGAACAUGACCCUGAAGUCCAAGAUAUGAAAUUAUCUACAAGUCCGGCCACAUGAAACUAAUGAGCACGGUUAGGUGCAGAACUGACUAUGCGCAGUCCAUGUUCUUCUUGCCAGCUUUUCCAUGCUUCUCAUGCAUGGAGAAGUUUUCAGAAAACGACGGUUCGGAUUCAACGAUAAACGUCUAGUUCGGUUUGGUGACCAGUUUUUUCUUUUCGUUCAAUUAUCGGAGAAAAUGGCAUUUGUUUUGUCAUGUUGGUACCCAUCGUAAGGUAGUCGAUCAUUAUGUUCUUGUUAUGUAAUUUGUCUUCCCUUCAUUUGCAUUUUUUCUUCAACCAAAUUGCAGUCCUGAACUCUGUUCAGUCUUUUUUUUAGAGAAAAGGCAUGGGUCGAGCCUGAGAAAAAGUUUGAAUCUAGCCUGCUUUGAAUUAAUAAACAACUUACAAAAGAAAACAGUAGACAAGAAACGGCAAGAUACAAGGUGUUGACGCAGCUUAUAGCCUAACGAUGAUACACACAAAAGAAAAAUAGAAAAAUGAGCCCAGUCUAAAUCACCGAGGCCAAAGGUCAAGAACAACAACCACACUAGCACCGGUAGCCAACACCUCUUUGUCUACUCCCGCAGAGCUUCUCAACAAGACAUCUACUUCUACCUCCGAAGAGGAUCACAAUCCUCUCGCUCUGGCUCGAAGGGCCUCGUACCGUCGGAAGGCAGAAAGCUAACCAUAGGGCAGCAUGGACAAUGCCAACCAAGCAUCCUGGGCAUGAGGGACCGGAGAGCUAACCACAAUCGCAGGGCUCCCGUGAUCUCACCACCGACCACAGGCCAACCACACAUGCAAACGCAAGCCGAAGAAUGUUACCACAUAACAAAUAAUGGUGGUAGAAGAAGUAGAUCGAUGCAUAAGAAGCCGCCACCGACCGCCCGCAAUCCAGCAAAAGAUCACCAACCUUGGUUCCACGAACCCUGGACAAUGCCUUCAGGAAGAGGCGCAACGAGGGCACGCCGCCGCCCAUUCGCACGGGGAACUAGAGCUUUUGCCAAAGGGGGAGCAAGAAGGAGAACAUGAGGGCACCUCGACAAGCCCUCCGCCGACGACCAAGGGUUUCCCCCGGCCCCACUCCCCAUCCCAACCAACCAACCACAAAACUGAAUAGGGGAGCACAAACCACCGUUGAAGGGUGGUGGACAUCGUCGGAAGCAGGCAUGCCGGGUGACGGGGCACCCCAACACACCAUAGUGCAUGCCCGCCGCAACCUCGCCGUCCACAUGGACGAAGUCACGGACCAGCACCCACGAUCUUCGCUCGUUGAAGAGAUGACACCAUCCGCUCUGCCUAGGGACAUCACCUUGGUAUCUGGCCCCCACACACAUCCCAUCGAAACAAGAAGAGGGUCACAUGCCACAACCAUCAAGGAGCACAUAUCGGCCACGUCGGCCAGAUCUGGAUGAAUCCGGUGCAUCCGAGACCAACAACGACAUAUCAAAGACAGAGAGAAGGGGUAGCUGGGGGCACCUAGAGGGGAGGAGGUACAGGGCCCCAACCCUGGUCUAUGCCGACCGGAGCUAGCAGCCAAAGCCGUCAAGGACAGUCCCUACACUAGAUCCGGGUAGAAGAGUGUCUCGACCCAAGACCAGCGCGCGACGAUGGAUCCCACAGCUAGGACACCGCCAGUUACGUAUCGCUCCCUUGCUUGUGACCCAAAUCCCAUCUGAUGGAUGGAACGUCAGGGCAACACAUUCUCCGAAGGUCGAGGGGACUCCCAUUCCUGUGCCGUUGAGAGUGACGACCUCUCUCGUGACGUCUAAGAGGUUAAGCAACCNNNNNNNNNNNNNNNNNNNNNNNNNNNNNNNNNNNNNNNNNNNNNNNNNNNNNNNNNNNNNNNNNNNNNNNNNNNNNNNNNNNNNNNNNNNNNNNNNNNNNNNNNNNNNNNNNNNNNNNNNNNNNNNNNNNNNNNNNNNNNNNNNNNNNNNNNNNNNNNNNNNNNNNNNNNNNNNNNNNNNNNNNNNNNNNNNNNNNNNNNNNNNNNNNNNNNNNNNNNNNNNNNNNNNNNNNNNNNNNNNNNNNNNNNNNNNNNNNNNNNNNNNNNNNNNNNNNNNNNNNNNNNNNNNNNNNNCAACUCCGCCUCCAUGAUAGUAGCCAUUUGCUCCCAAGGCAUCCUCGUUGGUGGUGGUAUGGCGAUCGGCGCUCAGUCCUGGCGCAAUGACGAUGCGAGGGCUAGGGAUGUGCAACAGCAUGGGGGUCGUUGCGAGGUCUAGAGCGUGCGACAGAGUGGGCGGUGGGUGUGCGAGGAGAGAGGUGUGUGAAGAGAUCUUGGGACCGGGGCUGGGAGAACGCUUGUCUCCGAAAUUGAAUGAUUGAUCCUGUGUGCAAACGUUGUGCCACUGCCGAGUUGUUCCGUUGUCCUGUCCCGCCAUCAUUGGGCCCCACAGCAGAAUCUACGAUAAAAAAAACGUCUCCCCCCAGUUGACAUGACAAAUGAUGUCUUCCACAGAGGUGUGGUUAACGUGGCGAAACUGCAAAGAAAAUUGUUGCCCCAAAGAAGAAAAUAUCGAGAAGGGCUUGUAGAAACUCCGAAGACCAUGAAAGAUAGACCAAUCCAGACAAAUCCACCAAAAACCUAAACUGAGCAUAUCCUGAAAGACCGUUGGGACAUAACUUUGCACAUCCUUCACCGACGAUGAAUACACCAAUAAAACAGGGUAGGAUAGGGAAAAACUUGUUCCUACAAAGAGACGGCGUCACCGUCUCACAUCCCUAAGCAAAACCCUAAGACAACCUAAGCCCAUCACCGCCCAAGAUCCUUUCGUGAAACACCCUUCUCUCAUUACUAGGCUAGGCCGGGCCGCCGCUAAAGGUAGCCAAUGCACAGAGGUGAGCCGCUAGCCCGGACCAGUCGCCGCUCCAUGAGCGCCAGCAUGCGUAGCAGGCGGCCCUUUCCGCAAUAUUGCGUGCCCCUCCGAGCACCAUAUUUGUGAAGGACCUCUCCGCCGCUGCCGGCGCUGCGCGGGCUUUGCCUGACGGCGCACGUGUUAGUGGCUAGAGGAGAAGAGGCGAUCUAGAUUUUUGGUGGUGGCGGGGGCGGCGAGAGAAUGUUUCCGUGUAAACUAAUUUUGUCCGAAUAUGCCCUGGCUAUUUCGAAGUCACCGAUAACAACCUGUACAGAAAAUGUAUGAAAGAAUCCGAAAGUCAUAGCGUUGCCAUGUUCUCUAGCAAAUUAAGAAACUGGGGAUCUCACUUAGUCCACCACUCAGAGCCACAUGGAAAAGUUAAUCAUGGAGCAAAAAUUAGUCGAUAGUUGCAGUUAUUAUACACAAUUUGACCUUGGCGAGGACAAUAGCAGCUAGAGAUUGGCGAUAGCGUAUUUAUGAUAGUACAACUGUCUCGGUCUUCCUGCCUGCAGGAGCCACAAAUCUGUGAAGAAAGGGUUGAGCUUUGCGAAUCUGUCUGCGAGUUGCGUGGGGCUAGCGUUGGUGGAUCCAUGUGGCCGGAGAGCCCGCCUCUCCGGGACGCCGGCGCUGCCGUGCUCACCGGAUGCGUCGCCAUGGCGGUGCUCCGCUUCUGGGAGGAGGUCGGCAACCGCGCCCUCUUGGACCAAGUAAGCUCUGCUCGCCACCUAAACAAUUCCUAUUUUUGUUGUUGUUGUUGGGGAUCGAUGAUUGCUUCAAUUUGCACGGAGAAAUUCUGGAGUAAAUCGCACAAGCCAAGUCGAAAUCAUCUCUCAGUUAAUGUACUCCUAGAAAGGUUAUCUCUCUGCUCCUAGUUCUACUCCUUUUGCCCCACUGACCAAUCCUGUAAUUAAAAGGCGAAAUUAAGCUACCAAAAUUACUUAGCAUGGCCGAAAAGUUUGGAAUAUUACUAACCUGGUCGUUUAGUUACCAAGACAAUGGAGAUUCACAUGCAAAUUAUUGAUGGGAGAUUGAUUGGGGUCCUUUGCUCUGCAUUUUCAGAAACUCUGCAGGAAGCUGGUGCACAUCAGUGUUGGGCUGGUAUAUUUCCUGAUGUGGCCUUUGUUCAGGUAAACCAGAGCACCAACGAACAAAGCUCUUCAUUUCAUUUGGCAUAAACUCUGCGCAUUACCUUUCUAACAUCUCUUCCCCAUUGCAGUGCAGAUGAUGUCUAUGCUCCAUUUCUUGCUUCAAUUGUCAUUGCGCUCAAUAUCAUAAAGGUAAUCUUGAUUGGAUCUGGUGUAGUUAAAGAUGACGGCGUGGUUAACUCGAUGACAAGAAAUGGAGACUACAGGUAGCCUCUGUUUUCCCCCAUCUGUGUUACUGUAUUCCCGCGACAGUAUGAACUGACUAUCUUCAUCGUUUCUCCAUUGUUUCUAGAGAGCUUCUCAAAGGCCCACUCUAUUACGCGUGUACUAUAACCCUCACUACCGUAAUCUUUUGGAGGACGUCUCCCAUUUCGAUUGCUGUGAUUUGCAACUUGUGCGCGGGGGACGGUACUAGUUCUUUCUCAUGCAAUUACAGUUUUUGUCCGGCACUACUACGCUCUCCUUUGAUUCUUCGAGCGAAGGUUUCAGAAAACAGCAUGACACUAUGCAUGCUGCUUCUUUCAGGUGUGGCUGACAUAGCCGGGAGGCGGUUCGGGCAUGUGAAGCUCCCUCACAACCCCGACAAAUCCUAUGCCGGAAGCAUCGCAAUGUUCUUCGCCGGCUUCGUCGCAUCGAUCCUGUAAGCAACAAGAUAUGCACACAUCCUACUUGACCCUGAAGCCUGAAGUCAUCUCUUGUUUUACAGUCUGAAAGACCGAGACUAAUACUGAAUGUGGUAUGCCUGCAGUUUCAUGUGCUACUUCCACCUUUUCGGAUUCGUGGAGCAGAGCUGGACCAUGGUCGCUGCCUUUGGCGUCACGUCGCUUGCAGCGGCGAUUGUCGAGUCACUCCCGGUCAGCACGCUCUUGGACGAUAACCUGACGACUCCAAUCGCGUCGGCGCUCGUCGGCAGCCUGGUUUUCUACUAUGUUGGUGGUGGUGGCGGUGCCGGAAGCGGCGACGGGACCAGCAUCUCGGCGACUGCUGCGAUGGUCUUUGCAGGCAGUAGCUAUUACAGUGAGGGCUAAGGAGAAGUUGCAGUGAAUUGGAAGGCUUUGGUGGUGUGAUGAUACUGCAAUGAGUUGCAGUAGUUGAGAUGGUUUUUGCAGGCUGUUACUGGGUGUUGGUUAAUCCGGUCUGUGUCUCUGUUAAAUUUGGUUUGACAGUGUCAUUGUGUGAGCAGCAUUGUUCGAAGUUCUGAAUAACAUUUGUAGACAGGGUAAAAUGUGACACUCCGGGAGCGGCACUAUACCGUAGAUACCUCCGCUAGCAAAUGUACGGCAGGUAUUAUAAAAUUGGGUGACCAAUGGGCUUUUCGGGAUGAACGACCAAUCGCACCGUUCCACACCGCCCCCAGCCAGCACAUAGCGACCCCACCGACGAAGAUGCCCACUGGUCUCCCUUCAAAAAAAGAAGAUGCCCACUGGUCAUACACGCGUGAAAGAAACAACAAGAUGAAACAGACAAUAAAUAUCCAACGGAGGAGGAGAGCCAAGGUGGAAUUUUUACCACGGUCUAACGGCUACAAACGGCCUAAUCGGGGGAGCAUGCUAGAGGCAAGUUGGCUAGAGUCUUUAUAGGUUAGAAUAGCACUACAAAAUAACUGCAAAAAUGUAUAUACAACAAGUCUCGAAAAAUCAAAUUAACAAAAUAAUGCAAUAAAAGGGUUUUAUGAUCAAAUUGCAACUCUCACAACAGAAGCAAAAUGUAUUCCUUACACACGUAAAAUUUAACAAAUAUCUUAAGAAGGCUAAGGAAAGCAGAUGGCGUCUAUAACCCUUUUAAACCGAGUGUGUGAGAGAACCAUAGCAAAUGCCUUAAGAAGGCCAGGGAAAAGCACAUACACUCGUACCAAGGCCGUCUUUCGUUUUGGACUCCAGCACAAUUCUACACCAGUACGAGCGACCACGCUUGUACCAGAGGCCGCCUUUUUCUUUGGACUUCGAAGAACAUCGGUUCAGUAUGAGCUUCGGUACGAACCUCCACGCUCGUACCGCACACUGUCUUUUCUCCUGGACUCGGCGAUCUGCUGCGGAGGUAUUGUACGACCCCAGGUAAGAGCGCCUCGCUCAUACCCGAGGCCGUCUUUUUUUAUAACCUUUGGUCAUUUCGUGUUAGUAGCUUUUGAAAAAAUGCUCGCAUUUAGGCAGUGGCAUGACCACGUGCUCAUACAAAGCCAUGUCUUUUUCUCGGAUUCUUCUAUGAUCAUCCGAUUUAGUUCCGAUUUGUUUUGAUCUCCUCCUAACGUCCUCCUCAAGCCUAAUAUCCGGAAUUCUAGGGUUUGUAGCCCUUUAUAAGAGCAAGGGAGUCACACCCUUGACUCAUUAUCCAUCUAAUCGUCACCUCUUUAUUCAUCUUGUCCAGCAGACAUUACUUUACAAGAUCAAGAAGGCAUCAGUUUCCAUAGCUUCCAAUGAUGCUCAAGGCACAUCCAUCAGCGAUAAGGGAUCUUCCUCGAGCUCUUCAUCAAGCAAGAUCAUACCGCUCAAAGAUUGGGAGGACAUGACCCAGAGGAGCUGGGAAGAACUCCGAAGGAUGGGUGCCCAAGAGGAGAAGCCAGAGGAGGUGAAGCUCGAGGAAGAAGAGGAAAGAAUAGAAGAGAAGAAAGACAUGCACCCUUCGAACACCUACAAGUACAACAAACAAGGAUCUCUUCCUAAAUCUCUGCAGGGCUCGCACCUCGCGAACGCAAGAAAGAAAUAUCGACCCCUGAUGUGAUUAAGGAAAAGAUUGUUGAAGUUGAGAAGGUUUCUAAAUCGUGUGUCAAUACAAUCGGAGAAGGGAUAGAUGCCUAUUGGAUUAUGAGAAAAGAACUUGAAAACAAGGUUGAUGGUAUGUACAAAUGCCCUUGUUGAUGUCACCACUAAGCAUUCUGCAGAGAAUAACUUCCUUUUGGAGGUGGUCUCCGAACAACAAAAACAAAUAUUAGGGAUGACAUCCUGCUUCCAUUGUAUUGCUCUUGCCUGCAGCAUGAAGAAGCCUGAGAAGGGAAAGAAUGAGGAUGCGCCCAUUGAACCAGAUCAAAAUUAGGUAUUAGGGUCCCGCCAACUUGAUUGUAAGCUUAGGGAGAUUUGAGAAUACCUUGUAUCUUUACUUUUUUCAGCUUGUUUAUCUUUUUCGUAAAGACGAGACUACUCGUCUUAGUUCGUGGAAUAAAAGUUGAGUUAGCAAGUUCCUUAGGAGCAUGGGAGGAAUCUUUUCCAAUGACUAGUGGAUAUUUACGAUGUGAAAUUUUAUUGUAUCCUGAAAACAACUAUAUUAGAUGCAAAAUCAAACUUGAGUACUACUACAUUUCUACUAAUAGAUAAUCACAAGCCUUUCACAUCUUAAGUGACGAUUGGUUAGUGAAAGUUGGCAACUGUAUGGAAUAGAUGAUCUUGGUUUCAGUUGUCUUAAUAAAAGUGUCGGGCAAAAAUAAAGAAUAAUUUCUUGAGACAUGUUUCCAAAUAAAAACAAAUUAUCAAGAAGCUAGAAAGCUUGAACUCUCAACUGCUAAAAUAUGAUUGUUGAAAUUUGAGAGACCGGUUUUUCAUUGAUCUUGCUAAGCAUGCUUAGUUUGCAUGUCAUAAGUUAAAUAAUAAAUGAUUGUGACAUGGGAAAAUAAGCCUCCUACCUAGGAGAAGGUGACAAAUAAAAGCACAUGAAUUAGAAGAAAACAAGUGUACAAACGCUUCUCGAAAGAAAAUUAUUGCCCCUCGCAACUUGCUCGACUGAAGCACAUACGACUUAUUGCAUAAAAGUUGUCAAACAUAUGCUAAUGAAUUGAUCACUAAAGGUGUGGAAGCCUUCAUAGUUAUCUUGGUGGUAAAUUGUAACGCCCAUGAUGCGGCUAUAUCUCCCACGUGUCGAAGCACGACUUAGAGGCAUAACCACAUUGUAAGCAAUGUCGCAAGUGAGGUAAUCUUCACAACAACCCAUGUAAUGAAUAAGGAAAAGAGGUACAUAGUUGGCUUACACUCGCCACGUCACACAAUAGCAUAAAUAUCAUUACAUUCAUCCAGAUACACUCAAGGUCCGACUACGAAACCAAAGUAAAGAACAACCCCAAAUGCGACAAAGUCCCCGAUCACCCCAACUGGGCACCACCUACUGAUCGUCUGGAAAAGAAACGUAGUAUCGUCCUGAGUCCUCAUCGAAUUCCCACUUGAGCUCAGUCGAAUCUCCUGGAAUGGUAUCAUCGGUCCCUGCAUCUGGUUUUGGAAGUAAUCUGUGAGUCACGGGGACUCAGCAAUCUCACACCCUCGCAAUCAAGACUAUUUAAGCUUAUAGGUGGGGCAAAAGGUAUGAGGUGGAGCUGCAACAAGCACUAGCAUAUAUGGUGGCUAACAUACGCAAAUGAGAGUGAGAAGAUAAAGGCAAAGCACGAUCGAGAAUCUAUGAUCAAGAAGUGAUCCUGAAACUACUUACGUUCAGGCAUAACUCCAACACCAUGUUCACUUUUCGGACCCCGCCGAGAAGAGACCAUCACGGCUACACACUCUGUUGAUUCAUUUUAAUUAAGUUAAGUUUCAGGUUUUCUACAACCGGGCAUUAACAAAUUCCCAUCUGCCCAUAACCGCGGGCACGGUUUUCGAAAAGUUCAAAACCCUGCAGGGGAGUCCCAACUUAGCCCAUCACAAGCUCUCAUGGUCAACGAAGGAUAUUCCUUCUCCCAAGACAAUCCGAUCAGACUCGGAAUCCCGGUUACAAGACAUCUUGACAAUGAUAAAACAAGUCCAGCAAAGCUGCCCGAAUGUGCCGACAAAUCCCGAUAGGAGCUGCACAUAUAUCGUUCUCAGGGCACACUCAGAUAGGUCAAGCUACGAGUAAAACCAACCCUCGAGUUGCCCCGAGGUGGCCCCGCAGGCUGCCCAUUUCAGACCAACACUCAGAGGAGCACUGGCCCCGGGAGGGGGGGGGGUUAAAAUAAAGAUGACCCUUGAGUCUGAACCCAAGGGAAAGAAAAUGCUAGGUGGCAAAUGGUAAAGCCAAGGUUGGGCCUUGCUGGAGGAGUUUUAUUCAAGGCGAACUGUCAAGGGGUUCCCAUUAUAAUCCAACCAUGUAAGGAACGCAAAAUCAAGGAACAUAACACCGGUAUGACGGAAACUAGGGCGGCAAGAGUGGAACAAAACACCAGGCAUAAGGCCGAGCCUUCCACCCUUUACCAAGUAUGUAGAUGCAUUAAAGUAAACAAGAUAUAUUGUGAUAUCCCAACAAAUCCAUGUUCCAACAUGGAACAAACUCCAAUCUUCACCUGCAACUAACAACACUAUAAGAGGGGCUGAGCAAAGCGGUAACAUAGCCAAACAACGGUUUGCGAGGAAACGUGGGUUAGAGGCUUGGCUUAGCAAUAUGGGAGGCAUGAUAUAGCAAGUGGUAGGUAUCGCAGCAUAGGCAUAGCAAAAGAGAGAGCAUCUAGCAAGCAAAGAUAGAAGUGCUUCGAGGGUAUGGUCAUCUUGCCUGCAAAGUUCUCCGAGAAGACGAAAGCUUGAACCUCGUAAACGUACUCAACGGGUCCUCGAACAUGAACUCGUCUCCCGGCUCUACCCAAGCAAGAACACAAGCAAAGGGAGACACAAUCAACCCCGGGCAAUGCACAAGCAACAUGAUGCAAGACAUGACAUGAUAUGCGGGAUGAGAUAUGCAAUGCAUAUGCAUGUUUCAGAAAGGAAAGAUUGAACCUGGCCUAAACUUGGAAAACCAAGAGUGCCACUGGAAAGAGGAGUUUAUUUCGGUCGAAAUCGAUAUAAAGAUCACCAGAAUCGGAUGCACGGUUUGGAAAUGACAAGCAAAACAAUUAUGGCACCGAACUGCGAUUAACAACACGAGGCCAUCUAAAUGCAUCAAGAACAACAAGCUACUGCACUCUAACAUAGCAACAAAACACAUGGCAGGGAUCCACUCAAGAUGCUUGACAAAAGAUGAACACUGAGCUAUGGCUAAUUCACUCAAUAUUAGGUUCAAACAAGCAUGGCAAAAGUGCAAAAGAUACCAGGUUACAGACUUAGUGAAAAUAACAAGUCAGGAAUUUAACAUCAGGAAGCAAUGUUUAGAGCAAGGUAACAAAAUGCUACAGGAACAUAUCAUGGCAAAUCAAGACAUGGCAUGAAGCUACUCAAAGCAUACAACAAAAGUCCCUUACUGACCAUAAGCCAAAAGGGAUCAGAAAAUACAAUGGCAACCAUGUGAACAUAGCAAUUAUCGUUAACAUAUUCCGACUUAGUAGAAAACUGGAACAUGGAAAAAUAGAUAUUAAGUAGGCAUGUUUGCGAGCUCGAUGCACUCACCAAAAGGCAUUGCAUGAUAAACUAAGCAUACACCCAACAAGUAGACAUGGCAUAGAAGCUAAACAUGGCAAGAACAACAACAUAGCAUGCACAGAUCAACUACAACAAGCUCGGCAAAAAUGCUUAACAUGUAAACAUUCUGCCAGGAACAUUUUAUAGCAAAAGUAGAACUCGAUUGACUCAAGCUAGGGUGCUCCAUAAAUGCAAACAAAGACGUGGAUGAAAAGAGCACACGAAUAUCUACAAAACAUCCUUACUGAUCAUGCUCAAAAGAGGCAUGGAUCGCUCGGUAACAACAUGAAUACAUGGCAUAAAAAUAAUGACAGGGCAAAGACUUAGAAUAUUUCUAAGUCCCUGAAAUAAGCAUCAUUACGAGAGCUACUUUGCAUGCUUGUGCUAGUCACCACAUAGAUCACAAAAAUACAUGGCAUACACCCCUGUAAAGAUGGCAUGGCAUACUUCAAAACUCAAGUAGGGCUGAAGUUCAUAGGAGGCACACAACAAUCAUGGCAAAAAUGACAAAUGAGCAAUUGCUGAUAAGAAACUGAAACUAACAGAAACUAGCACUCUUCCAACGGCAUUUAGGACAUCAAGAUGAGCUCAAAUGAACAUGAUGCAAUGAUAUGAAAUGAAGUACUCGUCGAGACGAACAAUUUGGUAUGCUACACGCACAAAAUGGUGCCAUGGUUGCAGAGAUAUAGCAUGUCAAAGUGGGCAUAAAACUGCAAGAAUUAAGGGACUUACAUAAAUUUUGAGGGGGGAAAAGUCAACCUCUCAGAUCCAGAUCGGGGCGGCGUGCGAACCGAGGUUCGCCGGCUGGGCUCGUCGGAGAGGAGGACGGGGAGGACGCCGACGACGAGGGGGGAGACCGGAGAGGACGGGGAGGAACUCCGAUGGCCGGAUCUGGAGCAGCCGAGGCGUGGGGAGGCCAUGGCGGCGGGCGGCGCGGUGGGGAGCGGCGCUAGGGCGNNNNNNNNNNNNNNNNNNNNNNNNNNNNNNNNNNNNNNNNNNNNNNNNNNNNNNNNNNNNNNNNNNNNNNNNNNNNNNNNNNNNNNNNNNNNNNNNNNNNNNNNNNNNNNNNNNNNNNNNNNNNNNNNNNNNNNNNNNNNNNNNNNNNNNNNNNNNNNNNNNNNNNNNNNNNNNNNNNNNNNNNNNNNNNNNNNNNNNNNNNNNNNNNNNNNNNNNNNNNNNNNNNNNNNNNNNNNNNNNNNNNNNNNNNNNNNNNNNNNNNNNNNNNNNNNNNNNNNNNNNNNNNNNNNNNNNNNNNNNNNNNNNNNNNNNNNNNNNNNNNNNNNNNNNNNNNNNNNNNNNNNNNNNNNNNNNNNNNNNNNNNNNNNNNNNNNNNNNNNNNNNNNNNNNNNNNNNNNNNNNNNNNNNNNNNNACGAGGGCGGCGGCACGAUGACAUGGCAUCUCCUAUUUCGCCGGAGUGAUGUGGAGGCUGGACGAAUCCGGCGGGCGCGGACAUGUCCGGCGUCGUGGAGGAGCGGGGCUAGGGUUUCAUCUGCGCGAAAAAUCCGGGAGGCAUACAUAUAUAUAGGUAGAGGGAGCUAGGAGACUCCAAAUGAGGUGCGGUUUUCAGCCACGCGAUCGUGAUCGAACGACCGAGAUGAUGGAGGGGGGUUUAGGUGGGUUUUGGGCCACCUUGGAAGGGUGUUGGGCUGCAACACACACGAGGCCUUUACAGUUCCACGGUUAACCGUUGGAGUAUCAAACGAAGUCCAAAUGGCACGAAACUUGACAGGUGGUGUACCGGUAGUAAACCAAGGCCGCUUGGCAAGUCUCGGUCCAAUCCGAGGACGUUUAACACCCGCACAUGAAAAGAGGUUAAAAGGGACACCGAGUGACAUAGGAGCGCCGGAUUGCAAAACGGACAACAGGGAAAAUGCUCGGAUGCAUGAGACGAACAUGUAUGCAAAUGAAAUGCACAGGAUGACAUGAUAAGAAAUGCAUGACACGCAAGCAAAUGACAAGGAAACAACAACGAAUAACUGGAAGACACCUGGCACCUCGGUCUCGGGGCGUUACAUAAAUUUGUGCUAGCAUUCAUCUUGAUCAUGUAUAUGAUGUGGAUAUUCACUUGACGCAAUAGACUCUUCCAUUUACAUUUAUCCCCACCUCAUGAACCUAAUGAUUAUAUUCUUGAAGCUGUAGUAUUUUCUCGAGGACGAGAAAAACUCUAAGUUUGGGUGAGUUGAUGAGUCCAAAAUUACAUGAACUUUAUCUUUGGGGCAUCUUUAGUUUUCGUGUCUUGUCGUAGGAUUGUCAGAAUUUUUUUGUGUUCCACCCUUUUGUUUGAAAUCACCAGGAUCAUAACUGAGGAGGAGAUCUAGAGCAUUAAAGAGGAGACCAAAAGUAUAUGAGUGAAAAUCAUGUUUAUUUGUGUGAUGGGAACCUUCCAUAAAGAUCAGCGAUUAAAUGAAGCAAUUUCCAGUGGCAACAGAGCCUCCAAGAGAGAAGAUGACGCCUAGUACGAGUGCACCCACUCAUACCAGCACUCGUACUAGGUGUGGCGUCGCCUCCCUCUUGUUGGCUAUUUCACCCAGGUAGUUUCGGACAGCAAAUCAAAGUUACAGAGACACGGGAAAUUUCGCUAGAACCAAGAACCCUAGCCUCCAGAAGGGAUCUGGAAGGGGAAUCGAUAGCAGGGCUCUGCCACGCCGUCAUCCUAACCAAGGAGACUUUGGCAUCAAUGUUCAUCAUGACCAUCCCCUAUUCAUCUCUUUGUAAUACCAAACUCUAGGUGGAUACCUACGUUCAUUAGUUUGAUUGUUCAUCCAUGAUUUCCAUGAUUAUCCUUCUAAUGCUUGUCUCAAUGUCCGAGGAAAAUCCCUAGUUCUCGGGGAUAUGGAGGAACACUAGUAUGUCUAGGUGUUGACGCUGAUAGGAUAUAGAAUCAUCCUUUGCAUGUUUAAGUUAAUGUUCUCCAUGAAUGUUGUGUAAGGUCGGCCCAACAAUUUUCCUUUAUGGCCACAAAGAACAUUACGAUUGUUGCAAUUGUGAGAUGCAGAUGUAAAGAGGUGACUCUAUCCUCCCAUCCUUCCCAGAGCAAUUGAUAGGGGAAUAGCGGAGAACCGACCAUUGACUUUGUGCAUGGGGUAACCCUUAAUCAUCAUUGUCGUAGCCUGCUAUGGGAAGGAAUAAUGGUGGCGUGUGUGAUAUGGAUCUAUGUAAGUAACAUGUAUGCUUUACCAGGCUCUGACCACUUAUAAAAGGAUGCAAGGUGGCUUAGUUAUCCGAACCUAGAACUAUGUUUACACAUAUGUUACAUUAGACACAUACUAGUGGGGACAAAACUCCAUGAGAAUGCAUUAUCCCUAAUAAUACCAUCGCUCUCAUUUAUUCUUUCUUGAUUUUUCAUUUUAUUUCGCACCCAAUUUUCAGUCGCCAAAUAUUUAAAACUUCUUCCUCCGCUUUGCUUUGGACCUCAACUAACUUGUAGGCCCAGCUCCAUAAACCUCAAGAAGAGGCAAAUACCAUUUCCUAUGCUCCAUGUGGUAUCAAUACUCUUACUUUGAAAAGCAACAAAUAAACUCUGUGCACUUUCAUAUCAUCAAGCACCACACUACCGGUAAAUGCACCAUGAUGCACAAAUAGUCACCGACGAGUGGGGUAACGUGACCGCUAACCACUCACCCACUAAUGUCGCACCCGCUCCCUUGGAUUUCUGAGACGGUCAUUUGGAUGGCCACCACUAGACAUCAUCACCAGCUAUAAAAACCCAACAGCGUGGAGCCCUGUCACCUAAGCCCAAUCCAUCGUCUCCCCCUUCCUCACCAUCUCCUCCCCUCUCUACAACAAUGUCAUCGCGAUGGGAGGAUGCAACCUAUUGACAGAACUUCAUGUCCUAGAUGCGGACCAUCGACAGUGUGAACUCCUCCCCCCCCUAAGUGCACUAGCCGCGGCAGCCGUUACUUCCUCCUCCCAUGGAGGCUCCCAUGAGGACGGAUGCACAUGAUACGCCGUCUUCCAUUACGACGAGCGGCAUCGCUGGUGAAGGAAAUAUGCCCUAGAUGCAAUAAUAAAGUUGUUAUUUAUAUUUCCUUAUAUCAUGAUAAAUGUUUAUUAUUCAUGCUAGAAUUGUAUUAACCGGAAACUUGAUACAUGUGUGAAUACAUAGACAAAACAAAGUGUCCCUAGUAUGCCUCCACUUGACUAGCUCGUUAAUCAAAGAUGGUUAAGUUUCCUGACCAUAGACAUGUGUUGUCAUUUGAUGAACGGGAUCACAUCAUUAGGAGAAUGAUAUGAUGGACAAGACCCACCCAUUAGCUUAGCAUAAUGAUCGUAAAGUUUUAUUGCUAUUGCUUUCUUCAUGACUUAUACAUAUUCCUUUGACUAUGAGAUUGUGCAACUCCCAAAUACCCGAGGAACACCUUGUGCUAUCAAAUGUCACAACGUAACUGGGUGAUUAUAAAGAUGCUCUACAUGUGUCUCCGAAGGUGUUUGUUGGGUUGGCAUAGAUCGAGAUUAGGAUUUGUCACUCCGAGUAUCAGAGAGGUAUCUCUGGGCACUCUCAGUAAUACACAUCAGGAUAAGCCUUGCAAGCAAUGUGACUAAUGAGUUGGUUGCGGGAUAAUGUAUUACGGAACGAGUAAAGAGACUUGCCGGUAAUGAGAUUGAACUAGGUAUGGAGAUAUCGACGACCGAAUCUCGGGCAAGUAACACACCGAUGACAAAGGGAAUGACGUAUGUUGUCAUUGCGGUUUCACUGAUAAAGAUCUUCGUAGAAUAUGUAGGAACCAAUAUGAGCAUCCAGGUUCCGUUGUUGGUUAUUGAUCGGAGAUGUGUCUCGGUCAUGUCUACAUAGUUCUCGAACCCGUAGGGUCCGCACGCUUAAUGUUCGAUGACGAUUUGUAUUAUGAGUUAUGUGUUUUGGUGACCGAAGAUUGACCGGAGUCCAGGAUGAGAUCAAGGACAUGACUAGGAGUCUCGAAAUGGUCGAGAGGUAAAGAUUGAUAUAUUGGACGAUGGUAUUCGGACACCGGAAUGGCUCUAGAAUGUUUCAGGUAUUUUUCGGAGUACUGGGAGGUUACCGGAACCCCUCGGGAAAGUAAUGGGCCUAGAUGGGCCAUAGGGGAGAGAGAGGGGAGCCCGCAAGGGGUGGCGUGCCCCCCAUGGGCUGUUCGAAUUAUACAAGAGGAGGGGGCACGGCCCCCCUUUCCUUCCCCCUCUCCCUCUCCUUCCCUUCCCCCCUCUGAAAGAAAGGAAGGGGGCGACUAGGACUCCUAGUCGGUUUCCCCCCCUCAUGGCACGCCCCCUAUGGCCGGCCUCCUCCCUCUCCUCCUUUAUAUACGGGGGCGAGGGGCACCCCAAAGCACAUCAAUUAUUCUCUUAGCCGUGUGCGGUGCCCCCCUCCAUAGUUUACUCCUCCGGUCAUAUUGUCGUAGUGCUUAGGCGAAGCCCUGCGCGGAUCACAUCACCAUCACCACACCAUCAUGCUGACAAAACUCUCCCUCGACACUUUGUUGGAUCAAGAGUUCGAGGGACAUUAUCGAGCUAAAUGUGUGCUGAACUCGGAGGUGUCGUACGUUCGGUGCUGUAGCGACCCGACCUCAGAGGUCAAGCCUCUGUGUAUCUAUGCCAUCCCUGGAUCAGUAUGCUGGCACACACAGUACAUCAAUGUAUAUAUCAAAGGACAAUCACAUGUAUAAAUAACGUAAAACUGAUAUAUAUCUUAUAAGUCUCAGCGGAAACAAUCAACGGGUAUGGAAUCCCAUAAACGCCAUCGGCAAGUUGAGUGUAGACCGUAACCCUGUACCGUACUCUUACUAGUCGAAAGAAACAUAUCUGCAACAUGAGACGUUGCAUCCGCGUAGGUCAGUACAUUGAAUGUACCGGCAAGAUCACAACAUGAGAAAGCAGAUGAUAAUACUAUUCUAUAUGCAAUAUGGCUUUGUGGCUCUGUGUCUGAUGUUUUUGCAUAAAAGAUGGUUUUAUUUUCCCUACAACAAAGGAAUAUCAGGAGUCUGUACUACGGAGUUUUCUAUCAUGACAUGGUUCCGCCAACCGAUGUCUCAUACCCAAAUCAUCAUAAGUUGCCCACAAUUAAAUUAUCAGUCCGAUGUUGAGAGUUCCGAGAUAGAUCCAAGUCCAGAGGCUCAAUUUGUCCAUAACCGGGGACACGGCUAAUCGAUUAGGUUCUAACCCUCUGCAGAGGUUUGUACACUUUACCCGCAAGAUUCGAUCCCUCUUUUUUUCGUUCUCGCACUUCACAGUGUUUGAGAACAAGACGACCGAAACAUGGUCUUCCAAAGAGUUCCCCUGACCACUGUCCGGUGCUUAUCCAAUCCUACCGUAGUUCUACAUCUGCUAGCACGGUCCCAGCCAGAGUCACCACUAGGGUCAACCAAGCCAGAGCCCAUAGUGACUUGCGGUUGCACAGGUAAGCUUCCGGGCAUGAAUUAUUCUUCCGUCUCUUUGAGUUUGGGUGAAGCUUUCCGCAAGAUGUCAUGGCGCUUCUCCAUGCAUCUCGACCAUCCACUAGUUCCUCUAGGGUGCCCGUCAACCGUCCUUCACCUAGUAGUGUGUAUUGAAUUCUUGUCUCGAGUCUCAAAAUCUUGAGGCCUUGGAGUCCUGAAGAUGCAGUCCUUGCCGAUGCCAUCAUGAAGUUGUCGCCAUUGACGUAGAGUCCUCCUUCUUCACACCACUCUUGUGCACUCAUACCAAACCCAUCUACUAUAGCGUAGCAUUAAAACUAUAUAACGUCCCGGGCUUGGUAACAGGGAGAUGGGUUUCUACCUCAUGCAUUCUACUCAACUACAAGAUUCAAUAACACUACUGGAGGGAUUGUUGAAAGGGUGCUACUACAUGCAAAUAAAACAUAGGUAUGGAAAACAUGGUCAAAGUGAACUUGCCUAGUAUUACUUGAUGAAGAUAAUAACGCUCUCGGAAUCUUUGAUAAACUAUUCGUCACUCCAAGAAAAUCUAUAUAGUCAAACAUUAUACUCACAUAAGCAAUAAUCCUAGCAAAUAAUACUAGCAAUCAAAAUAACAAUCAAAAAGCCAUAAAUAAAACAAUAAUGAAGUCAAAGAAAACCAAAUAGAAUUCCAAAGAAAACUUCACGAAAACAAGGGAGAAACCAACUCACACAAUAAUAGUCAAUACUUUCUUAUUAAAACUAAAUUACUCUAAUAACUUUUCUACAACAUACAAAAUAUAAUUCUAAUAAAACAACAACAAAAUAAUUUACUAAAGCAUUUACUAGCAAAAAGAACUAGUAUGAAAACUAUUGUAACUGACUAGUUAACACCAGAACAACUAUAACAACUAGCAAAACACCAAGACAAUAGUAAACAAUACUAAAAUAAUUAUCAAACUAAUUUACUCCUAAAUAACAGAAUAAAUGACAACAUAUAAUGAAGUGGCAAAAAGAAUUACUUUUGAAACAUAAUGAAACUACUUUUAUCAACUAUCACUAUGAACUAAACAAAUAAUGCUAAAACAGUACAUAAACACUAAUAAUUAACUACAAAAAAUUAUCUACUACAGUCUAACAUAAACAUAUGACAACAUGUAAAAAUUUACAAAAAGAAUUAACUAAAAAUAAUUAAAAAACACUAAUUAUAUGACUAAAACAACUACAUAACCUAAACAGUACUGUUUUCGCAAUAAACCUAAUUAAAAUAAACAAAAAAAUAACUAUAAGCUAUUGGAUAGACAAAACAAUAACAAAACCAUAGCAAAAAGAAUCAAUCAAAAAACUUUGUAAAACUCAAAAUAUGACCAAAUUAGUGAUUUGAACAAAUUUCAUCAAAUCCAAACUUAAACUACUCAAAUUUGAAAACCAAUGGCACAAACAGAAACUUCAACAAAUUUGUGACACAGAGCAAAAAGAAUCACUCAAUUUGGCUCUAAAACCUAAAAGAUAUAAGCAAUGUAAAAAACAGAACCUAUUCUGUUUUUGAAACAGAAACGAAAAAAAAA